This 61519-nucleotide long non-coding RNA is filed under the name Podarcis lilfordi (Lilford's wall lizard). The record is from RNAcentral. Lineage: Eukaryota; Metazoa; Chordata; Lepidosauria; Squamata; Lacertidae.
CUUCAUGAUCUGUCCUUCCAGUGAGCACUCAGGGCUGAUUUCCUUAAGAAUGGAUACGUUUGAUCUUCUUGCAGUCCAUGGGACUCUCAAGAGUCUCCUCCAGCACCAUAAUUCAAAAGCAUCAAUUCUUCGGCGAUCAGCCUUCUUUAUGGUCCAGCUCUCACUUCCAUACAUCACUACUGGGAAAACCAUAGCUUUUACUAUACGGACCUUUGUUGGCAAGGUGAUGUCUCUACUUUUUAAGAUGCUGUCUAGGUUUGUCAUUGCUUUUCUCCCAAGAAGCAGGCGUCUUUUAAUUUCGUGACUGCUGUCACCAUCUGCAGUGAUCAUGGAGCCCAAGAAAGUAAAAUCUCUUACUGCCUCCAUUUCUUCCCCUUCUAUUUGCCAGGAGGUGAUGGGACCAGUAGCCAUGAUCUUCGUUUUUUUGAUGUUGAGCUUCAGACCAUAUUUUGUGCUCUCCUCUUUCACCCUCAAUAAAAGGUUCUUUAAUUCCUCCUCACUUUCUGCCAUCAAUGUUGUGUCAUCUGCAUAUCUGAGGUUGUUGAUAUUUCUUCCGGCAAUCUUAAUUCUGGCUUGGGAUUCAUCCAGCCCAGCCUUUCGCAUGAUGAAUUCUGCAUAUAAGUUAAAUAAGCUGGAAGACAAUAUACAGCCUUGUCGUACUCCUUUCCCAAUUUUGAACCAAUCAGUUGUUCCAUAUCCAGUUCUAACUGUAGCGUCUUGUCCCACAUAGAGAUUUCUCAGGAGACAGAUGAGGUGAUCAGGCACUCCCAUUUCUUUAAGAACUUGCCAUAGUUUGCUGUGGUCGACACAGUCAAAGGCUUUUGCAUAGUCAAUGAAGCAGAAGUAGAUGUCUUUCUGGAACUCUCUAGCUUUCCCCAUAAUCCAGCGCAUGUUUGCAAUUUGGUCUCUGAUCCCCUUCAUGGAUCACUGCCUUGCCGUGGCGAAGGGGCUUGAAUAACUCAGAGAAGCUAUGAGCUAUGCCAUGCAGGCCACCCAAGAUGAACAGGUCAUAGUGGAGAGUUUUGACCAAACGUGAUCCACCUGGAGGAGGAACCGGCAAGCCACUCCAGUAUCCCUGCCAAGAAAACUCCAUGGACAAAGAGAACAGGUUGCAUCUUACUUUGUAUUAGUAAGCUGUUCACCACUUUGGUCGCCUCUGGGGCAGAAUGCAGUAUAUAAAUGACAUAACAUAAAAAUAAAUAUUGUAAAAUGCCUUGGGGUGGGUUUUUUGGAUCUGAGAGAUGCAUCAAAAAUUCAGAGAAGCGCAGUAUCCAAAGGAUAACUGUGCUCAACCCAAACAUGAGAUCAGGAGGGGAAGAUCAGUUUCAUUCAUAUUAGACUUUGUUCCUAUUAGACUUCAGCCCAGUAUACCUGUAGGAGUGUCUCCACCCCCAUCGUUCUGCCCGGACACUAAGGGCCAGUUCUGAGGGCCUUCUGGCAGUUCCCUCACUGCAAGAAGCAAAGUUACAGGAAACCAGGCAGAGGGCCUUCUCAGUAGUGGCACCUGCCCUGUGGAACGCCCUCCCAUCAGAUGUCAAGGAAAUAAACAACUAUCUGACUUUUAGAAGACAUCAGGGAAGUUUUUAAUAUUUAAAGUUUUAUUCUGUUCUUAAUGUUCUGUUGAAAGCUGCCCAGAGUGGCUGGGGAAACCCAGCCAGAUGGGUGGGGUAAUAAAUUGUUGUUGUUGUUAAUAUUAUUAUUAAGAUCAAACUCCUCCAGCAUCCCUAGUAGGUACCUGCCUGUUCACAGCACAUCCAGCAUUGUUUUUCUGAUUUGAUGGUCUCCUUCUAUAGUGACAUUUACCAGUUUUUCCUGACUGAGCACCACCAACGAGAAAAGAUAUUGUGGACCCAACUUACAGCUCUUUUACUUCAUUUCCCACAUCCUAUCUGUCUCUGCUAUGCAAAAUGUGAGCUGUUGUGUCUAAAGAUUAAAUGGUAGAGCAAUCACAAAGGAUGGAUUUUGCUGGAGGAACUAUUGCACUUUCCAUUGUUCAUAAAGGUGCUCCCUAUAGAUACAUUUCCACAGAGUGUUUUAAAGCCUUCCUAAUCACAGCUGAAAACUGCAUAAAACAUUUAGGGCCAUAAACACAUUCCCAUUUAAAUUUUCAGCUUCAUUGCAGGGCCAUCUUUCCCCCAAUCACAGAGUGCUCCCUAUUGUGCCAAUUAAGGUGUUUAAAACUCUGGGUUGCCAUGUCGCCAUAAAGGAGGAAGCGGAACAAUUUUGCCAUGGCUGCAUAAUUGUGUACAAAAGCUGCAACAAUGAAUUUACAACCUCGGCCCUUUACAGUAGUCCCUGGUGCCUUGAAUAAUUUUAUUACUGGAUCUGGCUCACUUGAUAAAGGAGUCUGGUUUCAUCAUCUAUCAUUGUUGGAGACUGGAGAGGAGGGCAAAUCAAAUUUCAAAUCCUUCUGGGAGACUCUUUAUCACUUCCCUGUGUAAAUAUGAGGACACCAGCAGCUUGAACAACCCUAAGCCUUCUGGGUGAAAUGAAAUUGGAAAGUGCAAGUGAUCAACGGUGAUUUUCCCGGCUUAAAUGUCAAGAGCAAGUGUACAUUUUAGGGGUAGUUUUUUCCAGAACAGUUUUGAUGGGGAGGAAACGUAUGAGUCUCUCAAAGUCCAACAAUACCAUUUGUUUUAGAAGUCCAUGGUGCUAAUAAAAUCCAAAACGUUAAAACUGCCUCAUGAACAAUGCCUUCAGCGAGUGUAAGAGUUCUUUAUAUCUCAGCUGGGCAUUGUAGAACACUUCAGACAGGACUCUUAAGAGCUAGGGGUCAGUAAAUGGGUCGAAUUCAGUUUCUCUCAGGCUCUCAUUCUUCCAGUCAUAAGUUCAGUUCUUCACAUUCCAACAUCCAUUUCCAAAAUGGCUGCCGUGCUCUCAUGCAAGGGGAAAAUGGGAUGUCCCAGUUUUAUUGGGACACUUGAGAGGUAUGCAGAGUUCUGUUGGCGUAGGAUCGUUUAGCUCAGGCUUCCUCAACCUCGGCCCUCCAGAUGUUUUUGGCCUACAACUCCCAUGAUCCCUAGCCAGCAGGGCCAGUGGUCAGGGAUGAUGGGAAUUGUAGUCUCAAAACAUCUGGAGGGCCAAGGUUAAGGAAGCCUGGUUUAGCUCAUUUAGCCCCCUUGUUUUAUUUAUUUAUUUAUUUAUUUACUUACUUACUACUACUACUACUACUACUAUUUGUAUACCGCCCUAUACCCGCAGGUGUCAGGGCAGAUCACAGAAUAAAAUCAGAAUAUAAAACCACAAAGUAUAACUGAAAUAAAAACAACAAAACACCCCCCAACACAUCUUAAAAUGGCAUAGGAUGGCCUUCCAAGCGGUCUUUGUCCUGCUGUGCUGAUUCCCGCCUCACUGGUGGUCAGAUUUUUAAUCAGAAUUUUAUUUAAUUUUGUUUUUUAACUGACUGUCAUUUUUUUAAAAAAAUCAUUGUAUUUCCUCUUAUCUGAUUUAUAUAUCACUUUAUUGUGGUAUUAUUUGUUUGUUUUAUGGAGUGGCUAUUUUUACUGUGGAUUUUAUUGUGGAAAGAUGAGGUUCAAAUGUGACAAAUGCAUAAUAAGGAUGCCUUUAGACUUAAUUUUGAUGCUUCAGGUGUCUGAAAAGAGGAAUUUUCAGAUGAUAAACAUAAUUAUCAAUAUUGUUCACCAAUGAAAAUACAUACCGUUGUAGAAUGAUUAAGAAAAGUAUAGAAUACAGUGUUGCUUACAAGCCAGCCUACCAUUCAAGUGGUCAACGUAACUUACAAAAUGGUAGAUUUAGUCGUUGCUUAUGAGCGUCUGGAAAUUCCAAUAUAAUAUUCAACCCUAUGUUUCCUUUCACCAAACUCUAUUGAGACAUCACUUAAUGUCACUUCUAUUUCCUGUACAUUCUGUUCACUGUAUUUUCCUCCCUCUCCCCUUGUUUUUCUUGUCUGAAAAUAUUUGUUUUGAUGUAUUAAUAUAUACAUGGAAAUAAAAAAAAGAAAGAAUGCAAAAUAAUGAUCAGGACAUGCUCCGACUGGUCUGCCUGUCAAGGUACAAUAGAUCUUUAUUUGGUGUAACUACCUUGACAGCGAGCUGUGCUAGACAGAAACCAGGUAAUCAUUGGGCUGAACAAAAGAUAUAUUCAGCGGCAUGUCUCUCAUUUUCCUGCCAUUCAUGGUCUGUGAGUAAAUGAAAUAAGCCUGUGUGAAAUGACAACCAGAAGCUCUUUAGUGUGGUUUACACGGCUGUGUGAGCUGCAAUGCACAGCGUGUUGUGACACUGAAUGUAUGUGUUGCUGCUGCGCAUUUCCAAGUGAAGAAAGUCCACUUCUUCCUCUAAGCCAGGCAUGGAGAACUUCUUAUGCUCCAAAUUAUUACAAAUCUAGUCAGAAACGAAUUCCAGACCUAAGGUGGACUUUUCAUUUUCUCCACAAUCCAAGGGAUCUUGUUUCUACUUCUUCUUAACAGAUAUGCAGACUUAAAAAACAAACAAACAGUCCUUUGUCUUUUUAAGUUUAAUAAUAACUAUGAUAGACUUGUGGCAUUUUCCAGAGGGAUACCCGUGUUAGGCUUUUGUAGCAAGAACAAAGGAGAGCCUUGUGGUGCCUUAAAAAAAGUAACAGACUUAUUAUGGCAUAAGCUUCUGCGUCUACUUCUUCAGAGGACAGAACCUGUACAGUGGUACCUCAGGUUAAGUACUUAAUUCAUUCCGGAGGUCCGUUCUUAACCUGAAACUGUUCCUAACCUGAAGCCCACUUUAGCUAAUGGGGCCUCCUGCUGCCACCGCGCCGCCGGAGCACAAUUUCUGUUCUCAUCCUGAAGCACUAUUUCUGGGUUAGCGGAGUCUGUAACCUGAAGCGUAUGUAACCCAAGGUACCACUGUAACAAAGGAGAUUCCGACUAAACAUUAGGAAGAACUUUCUGGUGAUAAGAGCUGUUUGAGUGCGAAAUGGACACCAUGGAAGUUGGUGGACUCUCCAUCAGAAGUUUUAAAAUGGAGAUUGGAUAGCAUCUGAGAAGGAUUCCUUAGCUGUAAUUCCCGCACUGCAAGGAGUUGAUCCCUUCAGCUCUAAAAUUCUAUGAAAUAUAUUGCUGGAACCCCAUUCCCAUCAGCCUCAGCUAGCAUGGCCAAUGGUCAGGGGCGAUGGGACUUGUAAGUCCAACAACAUCUGGAGUCACAAAGGUUUCCCAUUCCUGCUCUAGGCUCUCAUAGGAUUUGGGCAUUUGCAGGAGUAACAUUUCCUAGAACCAAGACUACUGCAGGUUUGAGGGGACACUGGGCAAAGGGUCUUCUCCAGCCCCCUCACCCUAGCUGCUUGCCCCCUUCUGUUGCCACAGUUUCUCUUUCUCUACUGAAAAGUGCCUCUUCUGUUUAAGAGGCCCAGCCCAUUCCUGCAACCCUUGACUUCAAAGCAGUGAGGGAAGAGUCUGACUGUACUGAGAUUUCUGCGACGGAGUCCUCUGAAUCAGAGGACAGCAGGGCAACAUCCUUGGCCUCAUCUCACAAAAGUGCUUCUGGGGUUGGCCCUGUGUGCAGUGGCGGAGGAAGAGGAGUGCGAGGGGAGCGCACUGCCCCUGGCAGCACAAUCCCGGUGGGGUGCUAUCGUGGCUGGGGGGCCCCCUGCGCUGGGAGCCACGCCCCCCAGGCAGUGUGCCACGCCCCCGGGAUGUGCACCAGCCAUUCCCCCGCCUGCUCUCCGCCCCCCGGUGCCGGAGCAUGAAGCUCCGCCACUGCCUGUGUGCAAUUCUCCUUCUGAUCCAGGGUCUUCAAUCUCACCCACUGAAGAAGGGGCAUCGACUCCCAGGAGCAUGUCAGAAAAGAGGGGCUGUUUUGCCCAAGUGUCUCUGGACAGAAGGGGCACUUCCAGACAACUCCAAAAUAUGUUGACAAGUGUAGGUCAGGUAUUAGCACCCUACAUCCUUGAUCAGUUACACACACACACCACCUUGAAAAAAAUAUUCUGGCCCAGCCUUCCAAACUCUGAGAGACAAUGAAUGAAUCUAGCCAUUUCUUUUUCAUUUCCCACAAUUCCCCAAAUCUAGCAGCACUAAUGGGGCAUUGUGGGAAAUUAACAGGGUGGCUAGAUCCAGAUGCUUGAGGUGCUGCCAGGUCAGCUGACCAGGACCCACUGCCAAAGGAGAGGACCCAGCAGAGGACACUCUGCUCAGGGUUCCCUCAAAAUUAGAAACUCGGGGCUUUCUCAAAACUAUUUUCCAGGACUGGUGGAAAACAGAUUGCGCAAAUGUUAUGUACUAAGCUUGGAUCCUAGAACAAUAGGAAAGUAGGAUCCUAGAAGGCAACAACUGAUUGGCUUGCAGGAAAAGACCAAUCAGGCUCCAGGAGGAAGUUAAUCAGCCUAUUGGGCUGGUAGGAUCGUAGAAUGCAACAAGUGAUUGGCCUGCAGGAAAAGACCAAUCAGGCUCCAGGAGGGAAGCAGAAUCAGCCAAUCAGAUGGGACUCAUUGGGUAAAUAAUGUAUAUAAAAGCCUGAGGUCUGGGGGGCAAUUCAAUCACUGUUUUACAAGCUGCAAUAAAGAGCAUGAAAUCACUACAGGACCCUGAGUACAUUUCAGCAAAUUUUGCACAGAACAAGGCUACUGCAAGUAAAGAAACAACACUAACAUGUUCUGUCGCCAUCUGGGGACCUUUCAUGUCUCUGAAAUCCUUCCUAACACUAAUGUUAGGAGGAGAGUGGGGAAUAAAUCAGAGCUUUGCAAACAGAAGACUAUUCUAUUUGCCUUGUCGAGUCACAAAUUCCUACUAGCAGUCUUGUGUGACUUUUCAUUUUACCAGAGGAGAACCAGUAAUUAUUUGUAGUUUAUCUUACCUGCAGAAAGGAUUCUCAAGGUGCAAAUUAAUUAGGCCUUUAAAUAAACUGAUUGUCCAGCUAAUAAAUGAUCACAUUUUCUAAUCAUGGGGAGAUUUAUGCUACUUUAUUUGAACCUCAUUGCCAGGAGUAGAAACCACUGUAAAUCACUAGAAAGGAAAUGUCUCGAUUAAUUAGAGGGCUCUCUGCAAACAGCAGCCAGGGUGGAACACAUUUCAGAAGGCACCCAACGGAAACCAAUAUGAUGAAUACAAGUAUGUUGGGUACAAGCAAUCUAGUGAGAUGAAUGUGUUGAUAAAUUUAAAAACUGGAAUGUGUACUUGCAGCAGAAUGAAGUGAAAAUGAGCUAGUAGCUGUCUAAGGUGGGCUUACCACUUCCAACUUCAGGUGCGGGGUAGCAUGAUGGAAGGCUCUCCCAUGAUGGGGGGAAGUAGAACAUUAGGUUAUCAGGGUGCAAGACUCUAGCACAGCCCUUUCUCUGCUGGGUUGUUUUUUCUCCCCCUCCUUGCAGGGUUUGUUUUCGUUUUUGCAGAGGAGAGCAUUCAAAACUGCGGAGAGUACAUUUGUUGUUGUUGUUGUUUAGUCGUUUAGUCGUGUCCGACUCUUCGUGACCCCAUGGACCAGAGCACGUCAGGCACUUCUGUCUUCCACUGCCUCCCGCAGUUUGGUCAAACUCAUGCUGGUAGCUUCGAGAACACUGUCCAACCAUCUCGUCCUCUGCCGUCCCCUUCUCCUUGUGCCCUCCAUCUUUCCCAACAUCAGGGUCUUUUCCAGGGAGUCUUCUCUUCUCAUGAGGUGGCCAAAGUCUUGGAGCCUCAGCUUCAUGAUCUGUCCUUCCAGUGAGCACUCAGGGCUGAUUUGCUUCAGAAUGGAGAGGUUUGAUCUUCUUGCAGUCCAUGGGACUCUCAAGAGUCUCCUCCAACACCAUAAUUCAAAAGCAUCAAUUCUUUGGCGAUCAGCCUUCUUUAUGGUCCAGCUCUCACUUCCAUACAUCACUACUGGGAAAACCAUAGCUUUAACUAUAUGGACCUUUGUUGGCAAAGUGAUGUCUCUGCUUUUUAAGAUGCUGUCUAGGUUUGUACAUAUGUGCUUAAAAUGUGAUUUCCCUCUGCAGUCUGAAGUGCUACAGCACUCUUACUGCUGCAGGACUCUACCACUUCCUUUGCAGAAGAACAGCACAAGAGCUUGCUGGAUCAGGCCCACCGCCCACCUAGGUCCGCAUCCUGUUCUCACAGUGGCCAACCAGAUUCCUGUGAGAAAUCUACAAGUCUGCCCUCCUGUGGCUUCCAGCAGCUGGUAUUUAGGAGCAUUAUUACCUCUCACCAUGGAGACAGAACAUUCGCCUCAGUCAUGGCUAGCAGCAAUUGGGAGACUUACCCUCCAUGAAUUUGUCUAAUCCUCUUAUAAAGCCAUCCAGCUUAGUGGAAACUAGUUCCAUAGUUGAACUAGGCACUGCAUGAAGAUCUUUGUGUCCUGAAUCUUCCAACAUUUUGCGUCAUUCAAUGUCCAUGAGAUUUAGUAUUACGAGAGAGGGAGAAAAAAUACUUUUCCCUAUCUAAUUUCUCUAUGCCAUGCAUAAUUUUAUAAUCUUCUAUCAGGUCACCUCUUACUCACAUUUUCUCUGAACUAAAUAGAGUGGUACCUCGGGUUACAUACGCUUCAGGUUACAGACGCUUCAGAUUACAGACUCCACUAACCCAGAAAUAGUACCUCGCAUUAAGAACUUUGCUUCAGGAUGAGAACAGAAAUUGUGCUCCGGCAGCGUGGCGGCAGCGGGAGGCCCCAUUAGCUAAAGUGGUGCUUCAGGUUAAGAACAGUUUCAGGUUAAGAAUGGACCUCUGGAACGAAUUAAGUUCUUAACCCGAGGUACCACUGUAGCCCCAAAUGCUGCAAUCUUUCCUCAUAGCAGUUGUUCCAUUCCUUUGAUCAGUUGUGCCAUCUAUGCGGAGCCAAACCCCCCUAAUUUUCACUGAGGGGGGGCUGACCCCCUCAAUAUUCUGCAGCAGUCACUGCUGUGACUAGGCCCCGUUGGGUGUUUCGUGAGUUGCGACAGGCCCCAUCGGACCUCCUCCUACCAUGUGACAUCACCAUAGCUGUCAACUUAUAGAUUUGAAAAUAAGGGACCAGUAGCCAAAAUAAGGGACCUGCAGCCUCACCUGUUCCAGGCACUCCAGUGUUACUGUCCUCCUGCAGUCUGGUCAAACUCAUGCUGGUAGCUUCGAGAACACUGUCCAACCAACUUUGUAACCAGAGGUUCAACUGAAUAGAAUCUGAAUCACAUGAACCACAAGGCCUAUGCAGCCUCAACAUAAGAUGGCUCUCCGGCCUGGCUUUGCACUGCAAAGUUUGCAGCAGCACGUGCAACAAAAUGGUGUCCAGCAUUCAAAAAACUCCUCCGCUUGCAUUAACUAGCCACACACAAGGCAUGCAAGCUCCACCCCCCAGUCGUUCUUAGACUUCUUAUUGGGUGAGCAACACAGCGAAGUAACACAGUUGGAGCCUCCCUCCUCCCUGGCCAGCAGGGAGGGAGGGAGAGGAGCUGCUUCCUUUGAAAUUUAAGGGACAUCAUUUAAGGGACAUUUAAGGGGCAUCCAUCAAUAAGGGACAGAAGCAGGACGUGGCGCUGGAAUAAGGGACUGUCCCUUCAAAUAAGGGACAUUUGACAGCUAUGGACACAUAGCUAUGACACAUGCGCCAGGUCCUCACAAUGUUGAACAGAACCUAGCACACCUGCCCUUGAUCAUCUUGGUUGCCCUGUUUCCCAGCUCUACAAUAUCCUUUUUGAGAUGAGGCGACCAGUACUCUACACAGUAUUCUAAAUCCUGUUACGCCAUAGAGCUGUAUAACAGCAUUAUGAUGUCAGUGGUUUUAUUUUCAGUUCUAUCUCUUUCCGUUACCUGUGCAAAUGGCAGGCUCGGAAUUCUUCAAUUCUAGGGUAGAUUCUUUUCUGUUCCAAAAGUAUAUCAUGGAGUGGACAGGACACAAAUGCCAAAAAAAAUCCUAUUAUCUACACAGCAUACCUUGGUUCCGAUAAUUGCUUUAUGGGAAGUAAUUAGAAUUAAUUAAGGUAACGAGCCAUCGGUGGCCACCCAUGACUUUUCCUUAACAAUUAGUUCUAUGUGGCAGAAACUCUCUGAGAAUUUCUAUCCCAUCAUAGGCUCAGAAAGUCUGUGGGCUGGAGUGCGCUUUUUCUCUGAUUGUUUGAGAAAUCUCACCUCUGUGGAACCUGAGGCAGCAAAUGGAUAGCUGGCUUUUUGCACCUGCUUCAGAAGCUGGUACUGGAAACCCUAAUGCAGUUUAAAUGAAGAGAGCGCCCAGCAGGCAAAGAAGAAGCUUUGGCAGGGUGUAAGAGUGUUUGGAGAGGGGGCAGAGGCUGUCAGCUGGUGAUCUUUGGUGUUCAAAGAGGGAGGUCAUACAUAGGGAUGGGUGAAUGUGUCAAUUCUCUCAGUUCAUUUCUCCACUGAAGUUCAAAUCUCAACAUCUUAGGCAGCAGUCUACAAUUGUUUGUUUGUUUGUUUGUUUGUUUGUUUUAAAAAGCUCAUUCAAAUUCAGCUGUAUUUUACUGUCAAUUUCUCCUAAUACAGUGGUACCUCGGGUUAAGUACUUAAUUCGUUCCGGAGGCCCGUUCUUAACCUGAAACUGUUCUUAACCUGAAGCACCACUUUAGCUAAUGGGGCCUCCUGCUGCCGCCGCGCCACCAGAGCCCGAUUUCUGUUCUUAUCCUGAAGCAAAGUUCUUAACCUGAAGCACUAUUUCUGGCUUAGUGGAGUCUGUAACCUGAAGCAUAUGUAACCUGAAGCGUAUGUAACCCGAGGUACCACUGUAUACAGACACAUGUGUGUAAGCAGUACAAAACAAUUGUCCCUUAGAUGCUCAGUUGGUAGAGUGCAACACUCUUAAUCUCAGAGUAAUGGGUUCGAAGCCUAUGUUGGGCAAAAGAUUCCUGUGUUAUCAGAGGGUUGGACUAGACGACACUCACGAUCCCUUCCAAUUCCAUGAUUUUAUGAUUCUAGCUCUCUAUUUCUUCUUAUGCUGUUUUCAUUUAUAUAUGCAUUUUAUGCACACAAAAGUAUCUGCACUUGUGCAUGUGUUGUGGCUUUCCAGUGUUUAUCCAAAUCACCGAUCUGCUGUCAGGCAUAAAUGAUUACUCAAGCCUUGGUCGGAGCAACAUAUGAACUACACUGUUGGUUUGCAGUUCAUGAUAUUGACCCGCCGUGAAUAUUUAUAGUGCCCUUCUUUUGCUUUGAUCCUCAGCCUUGAUUAAUGGGAAGCAUUCCCUGACACACUCCAGACAAAAUAGCCCCACUGGGACAUGCCUUCUUCCGGGUAAUGAUUCUUUCCUGGCAGACGCUCAAACUUACACCAGGAUUCCUGCAUCUGCAGAGCUGGACUUAAAAGCAAGUGUGAUGGGGGAAAGGCUUUCAUGUGAAAUUCCAGCAUUUCCAUGAAUUUGUUCUCCACAGAAAGCCACCUUUUAAAAUAUACACAGCAAUGAAUACUGUGUCCAGUUCUGGGCACCACAGCUUAAGAAGGAUGUUGACAAGCCAGAAUGUGUGCAGAGGAGGGCAACCAAGAUGAUCAAGGGUCUGGAAACUAAGCCUUAUGAGGAACGGUUGAAGGAGCUGGGUAUGUUUAGCCUGGAAAAGAGAACCAUUAUUAGUAUAUAUCAGGUUUCCUAAACUUGAGUCUCCAGCCGGUUUUGGAAUACAACUCCCAUCAUCCCUGGCUAGCAGGACCAGUGGUCAGGGAUGAUGGAAAUUGUAGUCCAAAAUCAGCUGGAGACCCAAGUUUGGGGAACCCUGGUAUAUAGGAGAAGAAGCUGCAGAAUGCUCAGAGUUAAUUCUGUAAAUGUAGUGGCCAAGAAUUAUAUACUGAGGUUUUAUGUGAACUCACAAGAUCCCAAACAACUAAUUCUGAAUAUUUUUGUCCAUAAAGGAGCUUUUGUACAUGACACCUUACUCCCCCCCCCCCCCGACUCUCCAGUCUUUAGAUGUUUCCCUUCACUGUUGUGGCUGCACAUCUCUCUUGUCUAUGGGCCUCUAAAGCCCUCUAUUUAAUUAAACUUAUUUUAAAAAAUCUUAUUGUUUGCUUUUUAUCUUCCUGCUAUGCUGAUCUGCAGCUCGACCGAGCCUUCUCAAAAAUCAUGCUUACUCUUUUAAUAUUCAUACGAAAUAGAUCGAUGAAUAAUUUAAUUAGCAGAAAUAGGAGAGCCAAAUGUUGUUGUAUUUAUUUAUUUAGACAUGUUUGCCCCACUUUUCUUUACAAACAAAUUCAAAGCACCUUACAAAAUUACUAAAAACGCAUUGAGACAAAAAAAAUAUAUACAAUUAACGUAAUCGAAAGAAGUUCAGCACAGCUCAGCACACACUCAAACACACUUCCCUCUUCUUCUGCAAACAAAAUGGGCUCCAAAAUGUUCCCAAGGAGUGAGAGGGAAAGAUACCAGCAAAAGUAAUAUAUUGUGGGUGGGCCUCCAGCUUCUUGGGGAAGGGUCAUGUUCCCAAUGAGGACAGCAAGGGGACUACAUGUCGCAGGGUGUCCAUUGGGAAUGUGAUAUGUCCAUUUCCACCAAGAAGGAAAGGAUCAAGUCUCUUUUGGGGUUCAUAUGUCUCCAUAGACAGCAAUGGCACUUGUCCCUGAACCUUAAGGACCGGGGGCCGGAUUCAGCUAACGAGUCCUGCUAGCAGAAGCCCACACCAGGACUUCCACUAACACAAUGGGACUUUCCCUCUCUCCUGGGGGAUGAGAACCCCCAGAAUAGUACACAGAGGAGGAGGAGAGAGGGGAUAGUUCUCUCUGGCAAACGUAACUGCUUGCACUGAGGGAAAGAUUGCCAUAGUGCUGUGCUGUGACUAUGGGUGACCAUCAACUAUGUUUGUACCUAUUGAAAUUGAUGGACUUCACUUAAAAGGUAAAGGGACCCCUGACCGUUAGGUCCAGUCGCGGACGACUCUGGGGUUGCAGCGCUCAUCUCGCUUUAUUGGCCGAGGGAGCCAGCGUACAGCUUCCGGCUGAUGUGGCCAGCAUGACUAAGCCGCUUCUGGCGAACCAGAGCAGUGCACAGAAACGCCGUUUACCUUCCCGCUGGAGUGGUACCUAUUUAUCUACUUGCACUUUGAUGUUCUUUCAAACUGCUAGGUUGGCAGGAGCAGGGACCGAGCAACGGGAGCUCACCCCAUCAUGGGGAUUCAAACUGCCGACUUUCUGAUCGGCAACCCCUAGGCUCAGUGGUUUAACCCACAGCGUCACCUGUGUCCCGGACUUAACUUAGUCAUGUUCAUUAACUGCAGUGGGUCUACUCAGUGGUGAAGCUGAUGCACAGAGGAGGAAUAGGCCCCCCUCUACCUGGAGAUGCUGGGGACUGAACCUCGCACCUUCUGCUUGCAAGGCAGAUGCUCUGUCACUGAGCUACAGUUCUUUCUGAGCAACAGUUGACUACCAACCUAUGGCUUGGAUCCUAAGCUAACUUUAUUCCAGGAUGCUCAUAGAAGGAAAGAUUUCUGUCCUCUCCUCCCCACUGCAGCUACCACUCAGGAAUACAAAAGCCUCUCUGGGCUGCUGGGGGACCCGCCUGAACAAUGAGGCUUGAGGGACUGUGAGGCAUGGGGGAACUGUCUCAUAUUGUGCUUGCAUCCUAUGAUCAUUUAACUGGAGGACGUUACAUUCACAGAACAAGCAUUUCCUGGGAAUUCUUCUCCACCUGCAACCUCCUUCUUCUGAUUUCACAUUGUUCAGGAGCUCCCCCUGCCCCCCAAUACUCCAGAUAUGCUUUUCGGGAGUUUCAUGUGGUGUAGUGGUUAAGAGCGGUAGACUCGUAAUCUGGUGAACUGGGUUCGUGUCUCCGCUCCUCCACAUGCAGCUGUUGGGUGACCUUGGGCUAGUCACACUUCUUUGAAGUCUCUCAGCCCCACUCACCUCACAGAGUGUUUGUUGUGGGGGAGAAAGGGAAAGGAGAAUGUUAGCCACUUUGAGACUCCUUCGGGUAGUGAUAAAGCGGGAUAUCAAAUCCAAACUCCUCCUCCUCCUCUUCUUCUUCUUCUUCUUCUGGGAGUUGAGGAUGAGAACUUCUUUAAGUCAGAUUAUUUUAGGAUAAUAAAAUAACUUUGUUCUGGGCUGGGCCCAGAACAAAGUUAGUUGAGCUAAAUUUCUUCUGGUAUCAAUGAGACUUCAGGUUAUGUCAUGGUUAACGUGUAUCACUGAUGUUAGGGGUCGGGGAGUUCAACUAACUUAGUCUGGAUUGGAGCUACAAACCCAUUAUUAUUUAUGACGUAUCUAAGACGUAUCAAAAAGUUCAGCUUAAAUUAAUCCUGUCCUCUUAAGAAAACCUGGAUGGGUUGACAUGACCUGUUUUUUAGAGUCACCUAGCAAUCUCUUCACUUCAAUAGUACCCUCUCAAACGUCAGUUGUUGGCUAAUCUCCCUCUAUCCGACCUCCCUUUUUUUUUUUGAAAGAUAAAUGAUAGACUUUGAUCUCUCAAGGGCUUCCUCUUGCAGGAAAAGAUAGCAGAGCCGCUCAUGGAUGCCACAAUGAGAGUGGACAGGCAGAAGAAAAGUCUUCAACAGAUAGAUUAGAGCGGAAUGGAAAUGUCAAGUGAGCAAAAGGGUACUUGUCCUUUUGAUUGUCUACUUUGUACCGUAUGCUAAAGGUCCAUGAUUUCAUAUCUAUCUUCUUCCUUCCCCACCUCCACCCCAAUACGCCAAUCUUUUCCAUGUAUGAGCAUAACGAAAAGUUGCCGCUUAAGCUUAUGUUGCUUUCCUUUCUUUUUUAAAAACAGCAUUUGCAAAAAAAAAAAAAACUUGCAUAUUUUUAACCUCUUAAUCCUCAAAAAGCAGGGGGGAGAGAGACAGACAGACCAACCAACAAUUUGUAUCCAGCUCUUCAGCCAACAGGGACACGGCUGGCGCUGUGGGUUAAACCACAGAGCCUAGGACUUGCUAAUCAGAAGGUCGGCGGUUCAAAUCCCCACGACGGGGUGAGCUCACGUUGCUCGGUCUCUGAUCCUGCCAACCUAGCAGUUCGAAAGCAGGCGGGAAGAUAAACGGCGUUUCCGUGCACUGCUCUGGUUCGCCAGAAGCGGCUUAGUCAUGCUGGCCACAUGACCAGAAGCUGUACGCCGGCUCCCUCGGCCAAUAAAGCAAGAUGAGUGCUGCAAUCCCAGAGUCGUUCAUGACUGGACCUAACGGUCAGGGGUCCCCCCUUACCUUCAGCCAACAAGGAUACCAGAGCAGCUUACAUGAAAUCAAAACAACACACUCUCUACCUGCGGGCUUACACUUAAAUAAAUAAAUAAUAUUUUAAAAAAAGAAAAAUACAACACACAAUGGAAAAAGGACAGGUGGGGGAGAGAGAGGAAAAUAAAACCCAACACUCAUUCACCAAUUUCUAGACAGUUGUUUUUGUAUUGACCAGCUGACAUAGCUCAGAGGCAGUAGACCCCUACAGAUACGGAUCUAGAUACAGAUAUAGAUAUAUAGAUAAUGGAUAUACUCAGCUCAAAGUUAUAUCAGAUGGCUGGACGGCUUGAGACUUUGCCAAUAUCUGGCAGCUGGACACCGCCAGGGCUAUUUGUAGGCAAUGGGAACUUCAGGCUUAGUUCCUGUUGUUCUGCAGCAGCAACACUGAAAAUGUACUCCAGCCUCCAAAUAUAGUGGGCCAAUAAGCAGCCAAUAAGGCCCAAUCUGGUGUUGUCUAGCAGCUACAAAUGAGCCAGAUGUUGUACUGCUUCCAGUUUGCUGCUAGCCCUGAAAAUGAUGCACUUAGGCUGCAGUCCUAACCAUGUCUGCUCAGAAAUAAGCCCUGUUCAAUUCAAUGGAGCUUUCUACCAGGUAAGCAGGGUUAGGGGUCGCAGCCUUAGAUGGCAACGGGCUUCUUGCCUUGAUAUCCAGGGAGCAUGUCUUAAGGAUUGCUCCUUCAGCCCUUCUGCCAAAGCAAACUGAUGCUGAAAUAAGGAGAGCUGAACUAAUGACUGGAAAAAUGAAAAAUGGCGAGAAACCAGAUUUGACACAUUUGCCCAUCCCUAAUCUAACCCAGUGGAGGGACGCGGGUGGCGCUGUGGGUUAAACCACAGAGCCUAGGACUUGCCGAUCAGAAGGUCGGCGGUUCGAAUCCCCGUGGCAGGGUGAGCUCCCGUUGCUCGGUCCCAGCUCCUGUCAACCUAGCAGUUCGAAAGCACGUCAAAGUGCAAGUAGAUAAAUGGCAGGAAGGUAAACGGUGUUUCUGUGUGCUGCUCUGGUUCGCCAGAAGCAGCUUAGUCCUGCUGGCCACAUGACCUGGAAGCUGUACGCCGGCUCCCUCGGCCAAUAAAUCGAGAUGAGCACCGCAACCCCAGAGUCGGUCAUGACUGAACCUAAUGGUCAAGGGUCCCUUUAUCUUUACCUUUAAUCUAACCCAGUACUAUCAAUUCUGUUUUCCUAGUGUUUGCCUAACCCAGUGGCUUUUGAAUCAGUGGAUGACAGGUAACUACAGAGUAAGGUUGCCAUAUUUCAAAAAGUAAAAUUCCUGAUACCCACAAAGUUGUUGAACUUUUUAAAGCUUUUUUUAAAAAACAAAUCCAAAUAGUUCAGCUUUUGGGGGGAAACCUAACCCCAAAAUAGUGGCUUUUUUAGCUGUUUACACUGUUUUUUCAUCGUGUUGAUACACAUCCAAGUCGGUGGCCCUCAUAGCCUCUUGCAAGAGCAAGUUCCAUAGUUUGGCAUACACAAGGCUGAGUAGCAGCAGAGUUCUUCUGCAACGUGAAAUGCAGGAAAGACACAAGCCCGGACCAGUGAACCUUAGUGUGAUGACUGCGAAUGUUGCAAGUUGGCUAUUUUCAGCUGCAAAAUUGUUGGAGGGUAUGACAUGCUCCCACUGCUCCUUUUUUUGGACGGAGGGGGAGGAAGCACAAGCUGCUGCAAUACAAGUGACACUGUAAAAGACUGAAAGCCCACAAAUGCAUCAGAUAAAAAGGCAGGUUUUAUGACACUUUUUAUAACCAGCAUCUUCUGGGUGACCUGAUGCUUCGUAUCUAAUUCCAUCUCCUCAAGCCAAACAGCUUUGUUUAACAUGGAAAUAUUUGGCUACACGAGUGCCAUCCUGCUUAACAUAUCUUGGGUCUUGUUGCUCCCAAAAUGUGUCUCCUAGGAGAUGAAAGCCUUCUGUCACAGUGGGGGGGAGGGGAUUAAAAAUCCAGAUCAUCUGCUGAGAUACAAGAAACUGAGCACCAAAAUGGGGAACAACUAAUUCUCCGUUUCCCACUUGCUGGUAUACAUCAGGGAGGUGUGCCCAAAAUUCUUUGUGUACCAUGGAAAGCAGCGAUAAAUUCAGUGUUGCAAUCUGUAUUAACACUGUUUUAAAUUGGGGGUGGGGGGUGGAGAGGGAAGCAGAUGGCAUUGGAUGGGAGAAAAUUAACGGGCCAGAAUGAGUAUGGCUUGCUGCAAAGUUGCCAGGGACAUCUUCAGCUAGGGAAAUUACAGGUAAAUAGCCCAGGUGGGCCAGGACAUGAUUGUAUAUGAGCCAUCUUUAUUUUCCCACUGACCUCUCUUCCUGCACAAGGAAGGAGGCAAGCUAGGUGUGAAUUGGGGAGACAGAGUACAGUUGCAGUUCUUUGAGAAAGACAGAAAAAUAUACACAGGGAGGGAGCUAGCUUGGAGCUCUGAAAGUGCCUUUGGGGAGUGAGGCCCUUUCUCUCUGAUGUGGGGCAGUGGCUUUGUGAGAAGUGUAGCCCUAUAAAUGUGGGACUAUAACUGUGAUCAGCCCCAGCCAGUAUGGCCAAUGGUCAUAGGCACGUCCAUAGGGUGUGCCAGGUGUGGUUAAUUAAAAACAAAACAAAAACAAGGGGGAUCUCAGAAUAAGAAAAUACGGAGCAGUGGCGCAGCUGCCAUGGCCCAUGGGGAAGUGGUGGGGAGAGAGAGAGAACGGGAGAAGGGAGGAGGGAAGCAGACAGAGGGAGACACAGACAGAAUUAGAAGGCUGGAAUGGAUGUGGAAUACAUAUGCAGCUCUCUGUCUGGGUCUGUCUCUGGAAGCAGCACAGGCAGAAGCUGCAGAUCCAUUCCAGCCUUUUUCUUCUGCUUUUGUCUAUCUCUGCCUCUCAGCUCUGUCUCAGUCUAAGCACCACAUGCCACCUUUUGCUCACACCUGAUGAGCGAUGUUUUAUUCUCUAAGACAGGAAGAUAAAGAAACCUUAAUCUGUUUUGAUCAAUUUGAGUUGAUCAAUCUGGUUAAAGAUAACGAUCAUGAAAAAUGCCUGUAUCUUUAUACAGGUGAAACUCAAAAAAUUAGAAUAUCGUGGAAAAGUUCAUUUAUUUCAGUAAUUCAACUUAAAAGGUGAAACUAAUAUAUGAGAUAGACUCAUGACAUGCAAAGUGAGAUAUGUCAAGCCUUUAUUUGUUAUAAUUGUGAUGAUCAUGGCGUACAGCUAAUGAAAACCCCAAAUUAACAAUCUCAGAAAAUUAGAAUAUUAAAUGAAAUCAGCAAAACCAAGGACUGCAAAUAGAGCGAUACUGAACCUCUAAGAAGCAGAAGUGAAGGACUGCACAUAUCUGCUCGUGGGUCCCUGGAGCACAGAUUCACAGAAAGCGGCAAAAUGUCCUUGCAGGUUAUUAACAGGAUUUUUAUUUGAAGUGCAUAUGCAAAACAAAGGUACAGAGCAAUAAGUUUGCAAUCUGCACACCUAGUCAGGGUGUGCCCCCUUUAUAUAGAUUUGCAGAAUAGAAUACCACAUGAUCUUUUGUAAACCGAAAGUUAUGGCAACUUUCUAUGUCCUUAUAUGGGCUUGACCUUGUAUGGGCUUGCUUGCCCCCUUCUUCCUGCAAUGGCCUCACACCAGCCUCUCCACGCCACGGCAAUAUGCGUUCCUGAGUCUGCUUAUCUCUUUACAACCUUGAAUAAUAAACAUUUCAGUCUGUUCCAUCAAUGCCAGCUUUGUUCUCCUGAUGGACCUCGACACGUGUUCACAUGUAAAAAAUGUGAUUUGCACUAAUAGCAAUAAGAUGGGGCUUUGUUUCUUGUGCCCCCUGUCUGGGGUACAAUAAUCUAUUCAGCUUUUUACCCGCCUAAGCCAGUCAUUCUGAGAGAGGAGAAAAUGGCUCAAACGGGUUUUGGGACCAUAUAGAGAACAAUAUUCUAAUGGCCCCUUCAGAAGCAUGCAUAUGUACUCAGUACUUGGUUUGGGCCCCUUUUGCAUCAAUUACUGCCUCAAUGCGGCGUGGCAUGGAUGCUAUCAGCCUGUGGCACUGCUGAGGUGUUAUGGAAGACCAGGAAGCUUCAAUAGCAGCCUUCAGCUCUUCUGCAUUGCUCGGUCUCAUGUCUCUCAUCUUUUUCUUGGCAAUGCCCUAUAGAUUCUCUCUGGGGUUCAGGUCAGGCGAGUUUGCUGGCCAAUCAAGCACAGUAAUCCCAUGGGCAUUGAACCAAGUUUUGGUACUUUUGGCAGUGUGGGCAGGUGCCAAAGGCCUGCUGGAAAAUGAAGUCAGCAUCCCCAUAAAGCUCGUCUGUGGAAGGAAGCAUGAAGUGCUCCAAAAUCUCCUGGUAGACGGCUGCGUUGACCCUGGACUUAAUGAAGCACAGUGGACCAACACCAGCUGAUGACAUCGCUCCCCAAAUCAACACAGACUGCGGAAACUUCACACUGGACUUCAAGCAUUUGGCAUUCAUUGUGUGCCUCCCCAUUCUUCCUCCAGAUUCUGGGUCCUGGGUUUCCAAAUGAGAUGCAAAAGCUGCUCUCAUCAGAAAAGAGAUUUGGAUGUCAUUAAUCUAUCUCAUAUAUUAGUUUCACCUUUUAAGUUUAAUUACUGAAAUAAAUGAACUUUUCCACGAUAUUCUAAUUUUUCGAGUUUCACCUGUAUAACUUGAUUAUCCCUAUAGCAAAAAAAAUGUAGUAUUUUGUGUCCCAUUUUUUAAGUUUGUACUUUUAAAAUAAAGUUUAGCUGCUAAUAAAAAGUUAAGUUUUAGAUUCAGUUUGUUUGAUGAAUAAAAAUAAUGUCACUUAUGAUUUCCAGUGGCUAUGUGACGCGGGCAGCAAAAAGCCAAUGCAAUUGGGCUGCAUCACAGAUCUGUGAUCAAGGAGUGCAACAGCCAAUGUGCUGCCUGGUCGUGACUCACUGGCACUAGUGUCCAGUCUGGGCUACCACAGUCUACUAGGCUGACAUUGACAGUCCGGGAAUCGCUGUCCAGAGUAGGCACCAAAACAGAUCAAGGUCUGGAAACGAUGCCCAUGAGGAACGGCCAAGAGCCGGGCAUGCCUAGCCUGGCAGGAGCCAAGGCGAUGAUAGCCAUGUUCAAACACAGCAGAGGAGGGAGAAGGUUGUUAUAUGUAUGAUUUAGUAUGAGUAUGUAGUCAAUAGAUGUUUGCCUUAAAAAAAAACCUAGGUGCACACCCUAAGGAAAUGUACUGUUCAUGCCUAUAUCUGGAGUUGUGGUGGGGAACUGGAUCCAGCUGGCAGGCCCGAUCAUGUUCUCCCCAACAACCACCACAAGACCAGGUCUGACAGGUGGGCGGUGCCAUUUACCUGUCAAUCACCUGGAAAUACAAUAAUAUUAGGCAACCUGCUUUUGUCCAUGUGGUUAGCAUCAUGGACAAAAUGGGGAUGGGUUAGAUGGGGGCUGGAUGUUCCCCAAGUUUUCCACCUCUGGUUUAAGCAUGUGUCUCCAGCUAUGUUCAACCUGUAUGUUUGUACAUAAAAAAAAUCAAGCAUUACAAAAUGCUAUAAGCCUCCAGUGACCUCCUUCUAAAGAGAACCAAACCCAGGAGAAAGCUGCACCUGUGGAACUUCUUACUGCCCUCAGGGAAAUGGAGCAAGUCCAAGAAUACUGUCCUGGAAAAUAUCCAUGCAGAGAAAUGGUCUCUAAUAAUAGUCUUUAGGGGCAUAAAAUUAAAGGGGGGAGGGGAGAAAAAUACAUACAAAUGCAAGUAAUAAUUAGAUCCAUCCCUUUUAUAAACACAUCAGUCAUCCCAGCUGAUUGUCAGUUUGAUCUGAAUUAAAGGCAUUUAUCAGCAGCCUCUCAAACAGCUUUCUGUAGAUUUAAGAGUGAAAACGAAAUGGGAUUGCAGCUAGAUGGCUAAUCAAAACAAGAUUGGGCAUGGUGCUAGCAUAGCAAUUAGUGGAAAUUGUAGAUAUGUUAAAGGAGAAGCCAUUAAUAUUCAGAGUAGUUUUGCAUCGACAAUCAGUUGAUUUGUUAUAAUGUGCCUCCCAUUACUUUAUGCUAUUUGUGCAAAUAUGUUUUCAUCUGUGCAAUCUCCAGGAAAUGCUUCCUGAACAGUUACAUAAACACUAGAAAUGCAGCGUGGUGCAGUCCUGAUUAACCUCUGUGUGACAUACCUCUGCUCGCUCUAAUGAGAUUACACGGGUUCAGAUACAAAUCUAUUAAUUUAAGCCCACCAGCAGGGCUUUACAAUGGGCACAUUAACAAAGACAUAUGUCCUGAUGGGUAGCUCAGUUGACAGAGCGUGAGACUCUUAAUCUCAGGUUUGAGCCUCAUGCUGGGUGGAAGAUUCUUGCAUUGCAGUGGGUUGGAUCAGACGAUCCUCGUAGCUCCUUCCAACUCUUCAGUUCUGUGAUUUUGUGACUAUAAUGUUAUGAAUCUCAUGAACUAAGUGUCAGGAGCUCAGCCUACACUUGAGUAGGACCCUGGCAGAGACACACGCCCGACUGGCAUGUUUCCUCCCUCCUGGUCGAUCGUUCGGGAGCUUCAUUAGCUUUCUUCAGCCCGAACAUCACAGCGACCAAUGCCAACCAACAAUGGCACACUUAGGGAUCCGCAGAGUUUGUGCAUCAUGCAUGACAGACCUCAGCAACUCAGCAUUUUGGCUAAUCUACUUUAUUUAGAUAUAAACAGAUACAGAGCACUGCAACAUGGCUCCCUCUCUCUAGCAUCAGACAGCAAAGAGGAAAAGAACAAAGGACAAUAGUCCCACUUCACGGAACACAGUAACACAAACAUCCUGUCUCCAUCACUUCCCACUCUGUGGAGUCAAAACAUAAACCGUCAUGUGAUAAGACAAAAAUCCCAUGACUGCAAUCACGGAGCAGGAAUUCUGACACUAAGACCAGUGAGUUAGGUGAAAAAGGUGCCAGGUCUCAACCUGAGAGCCAUUGGAUUUAGCAUCACUUUUAUAAGCAGUGUUGGCCGAAUUACUAUCCCCGUCUCUGUUGUCUGGAUUUGUUAAAUGGGGAUAGUGGCCUUUCUUGCAGGUGUAUUAUGAAGAUGAAAUACGUAACUUUUAGGGGUGUUUUCCCUAAUCGUGCCAUCUAGCAGUUCUAUUGCUGCAAUCCAACCCACAGUUUCCGAUUGUCAGUGGGGCAUUUUUCCUCAGGUGCCAAAAUGCCUGGGGAAAUGGUUCCCAGGAUUCUUUGGGGUGGAAUAUGGUUUAAAUGUACGGUGAAGAACUGGCCUCCCUUUUCUCUCCACUCUCCUUGUGCGCUUUUAGUUUGUAAACCAGGGUGGCACGACCUAUCUAUCUAUCUCGCCCUCUUAAUUGAUGCGAGCUGUUUUGAUGAAUUAUAACGGUUUGAAAAAUGGAAUAAAAAGAUAGCCCAUAAAUCUACAGAACACACACAGAGAGAUCCUGUUUCAAGGGACACAGAUAGUUUGAGCAGAACUAGGGGAUCUUUAUGGGGGCAAGAAAAUGAGACAGCUUAAAGGUGGACCUUUAACAAUGAACCCCCUCUUCCCUGCUCCCCCUCUCUGAAACCGUCUCCCUUGGGAAGAAUCGGUUAAGUGUACUCACGGGAAAGUGAGUUUAGGACAUGAUAUACUUCAUUGAUCCCUGGCUAGGAUCUGUGAACUAUAUCUUGUAUUGCCUUUUUAUUUUAUCUUACUUUUUUAAAAAAUCCGAAGCACUACCAAGGAAAUCUGACACCACGCAUCCCGAGGCCAGCUCCCGAGUGAGUAUAUAUGGCUGAUCUGUGACAGUUUCCAAGAGCGUGCAAUGCCUGGCUGCAAUUCAUAACGCUCCUGCAGCUCUGCGAGUACCAGAGAUUACAGGAAUAAGGUGACACUCUCCGUUCAGUGUAUAAAUAGCUCCCUUGCUCAUCUGCUGUGUCCAUUGCACGGCAGCAACAGAACAGGCUAUGUGUGAUGCCUCCCUGCCUCUUUGCCUCCUCCACACUGGGAACAGCUUUCCUUUCCACCAGCAACAGCUUUUCCCGAUUGCCAUGGCAAAAAGUACCAAUGCAAAAAAGGGGCAGCUACUUCCCCCCCACACACACACUUUGUUGCCUCUCCCUCUGGAGAUAAGACUCUGCAGCCUGGGUGACAGCAUCAACUGUUAGGGACCAGAGAUCAACAGAACGUCUGUUUCCUCCGAGCUGACAUUUGUGCCAUCAGCCAGCCCCUGACUCCCAUCUGCAACUCCUUCUGCCCCUGGAGGGAAGAUGCUGGAACCUGGAUGAUGCCUCAGCUGCCAGGUGCUAGAGGAGGCGGCCAUCAACACCUCUACAUAUUCCAAACACAGUGUUCCUCAUCUGUAGGUUUUUUAACCGCAAGCUACAUUAGGAGAACCCAUCUACUUAUUUGUUUUUAAGAUGCACACCUUGUCUUUCGAUCAAAUUACAGUGGUACCUCGGGUUACAGACGCUUCAGGUUACAUACACUUCAGGUUACAGACUCCACUAACCCAGAAAUAGUUGUUGUUGUUUAGUCAUUUAGUCGUGUCCGACUCUUCGUGACCCCAUGGACCAGAGCACGCCAGGCACUCCUGUCUUCCACUGCCUCCCACAGUUUGGUCAAACUCAUGCUGGUAGCUUUGAGAACACUGUCCAACCAUCUCGUCCUCUGUCGUCCCCUUCUCCUUCCCAACAUCAGGGUCUUUUCCAGGGAGUCUUCUCUUCUCAGAAAUAGUACCUCGGGUUAAGAACUUUGCUUCAGGAUGAGAACAGAAAUCGCGUGGUGGCGGCAGCGGGAGGCCCCAUUAGCUAAUGUGGUGCUUCAGGAUAAGAACAGUUUCAGGUUAAGAACGGACCUCCAGAACGAAUUAAGUACUUAACCCAAGGUACCACUUUAUUCUUAAGGCACCCUACAAGGAACAGGAUGUAGGGGGAGGAAUUGAAGCUCAUUGGAAGAGCCAGAGGCUCUAGGGGUACCUAGGGGUUGGUGAAACUAGCCCCUGCAUGGGGAGCAAGCCUGGGAUGCGUGCACAAUAAUCUAAGGUUACCAGAUUUUUUUCCAAUGAAUCUGGGGACACUUUAAUUAAUGAAUUAAUUAAUUAAAUACUACGUUGAUGCUGCAGCGAUGGUGGUGGCAGAGGGGCGGCCGCCACCUUGACCUCAACCACCACGUUUCCCCUUCCUCCGAGGCUUCUAUCUCCUUUCUCCAUGAGCCUGGGCAGCCCCUGAGUUGUUGAUUCUUCAGUAGUGGUGGGGAAGCGGUGCACAGUGGGUCAGGCAUGGAAGGGCCAAGAGCGGAGGCAGCGGCGAGGCCAUCAGAGCAGCCCUAAUCUCAUUCCUACUUGCGUGCAAGCUGGAGGUAGUGGGGAUCCCUCAGCUGCGAAGGGAGAGAUCCCCGCCCCACUCCUGCUUGCAUGCAAGUAGGAGUUGGGAGGCUGCUCCGAUAGGCAGCAUGAAGCCUCCCUUCACAGCUUAGUUGCAGGGGUCAGGGAAGGUGGAGGCAGCCCGGAAGCUGCAUCUUAGAGCCCCUGCACCACCAUCAUAUGGGGACUUCCGAGCAGCUCCUGAAGCCAGCCAGAGCCAACUGCCGGAUCUGGGCUGCUGAGACUGCCACUGCCUCAUUUCCCGGGGACAUUAGAUGAAAUCCAGGGAUGGAAUUUGUCUGGGGACUUAUUCGCAAAUCCGGGGACUGUCCCUGGGAAACAGGGACGCCUGGUAACCCUGCAAUAAUCACCUAUCAGACUAUGGAGUGUAUGACGCUGUCAGGGACUGGAGACAAGAAGAACAGGAAUGGUGGAUAUCGCCUCCCCCUUCUCUUGUAGCUGACAGGGUGGAGGGAGGCCAGUUUGAAUUACAGCCGAGCUAUGAGAUAACUGGCGAGGCAGAGACUAGCGGCUAAGUUACGAAGUGUUAGAAGAAGCAUGGGCGGAGAUAGCCCCAUCAGCGGACACUUCAUUAGACAGCACAGCGUUCGUUAAGGGUGCAACAGCAAUGAAUGCAAAGACAAUUCACUACGGGGGGCCUCCAUAGGGUGAAGUGCCGCUGGGAAAGAGGGAAGGGGGAGGAGCCAGAGUGAGCAACCCCAUCACGGGGAAAGGACUGAAUUCUUUGUCUUCUACUGUAAUGACUGAAUAAAUCAUAAGUCAGAGCUUUCUCGUUUCCUCCCUGAUUCUGGAAACCGUGGGGGGGGGAGAGAAUUCCUCAAGCCUGACAGAUGCAUAUGUUUGUGGCGCCACAUCACUGCUAUCGUAGUGAGAUCGAAUGCAAGAAAACCUUCCCAUCCUUCUUGCACUGCAACUCAAAAGUGUGGGCGAAGGGGAUUUUUUAAUUAUUUUUUUACGGGGUGCCAGUACAGCUCCUUGUAACACACACAUGGACAUUUUCUGCGAAUCUGCCCCCUUUUUUGUCCCCUGCUAUUUAUUUAUUGCCAGUUGUCUUUGUCCAUGGAGUUUUCUUGCCAGGGAUACUGGAGUGGCUUGCCGGUUCCUGCUCCAGGUGGAUCACUUUUAGUCAAAACUCUCCACUAUGACCUGUCCAUCUUGGGUGGCCCUGCAAGGCAUAGCUCAUAGCUUCUCUGAGUUAUUCAAGCCCCUUUGCCACAGCAAGGCAGUGAUCCAUGAAGGGGAGGCAGUGAUCCAUGCCAACAAAGGUCCGUAUAGUUAAAGCUAUGGUUUUCCCAGUAGUGAUGUAUGGAAGUGAGAGCUGGACCAUAAAGAAGGUUGAUCGCCAAAGAAUUGAUGCUUUUGAAUUAUGGUGCUGGAGGAGACUCUUGAGAGUCCCAUGGACUGCAAGAAGAUCAAACCUAUCCAUUCUGAAGGAAAUCAGCCCUGAGUGCUCACUAGAAGGACAGAUCAUGAAGCUGAGGCUCCAAUACUUUGGCCACCUCAUGAGAAGAGAAGACUCCCUGGAAAAGACUCUGAUGUUGGGAAAGAUGGAGGGCACAAGGAGAAGGGGACAACAGAGGACGAGAUGGUUGGACAGUGUUCUCGAAGCUACCAGCAUGAGUUUGACCAAACUGCGGGAGGCAGUGGAAGACAGGAGUGCCUGGCGUGCUCUGGUCUAUGGAGUCACGAAGAGUCGAACAUGACUAAACGACUAAACAACAACAAAAUUUAUUUAUUUACACCCUGCCUUUUUCCCUAACAGGACUCAAGGGAGCUUAAAGAUAAAAACAAGAACUGCUAAAAACACAGGGCGGAAACGAUCAUAAAAAAGUUAAACAGUGAUAGAAUUAAAACUAUAUACGUAUAUGAGACCUGUUUAAUACAUGCCAUCCAUCUUGUUAGGUUUUCUGAGUUCCGAUAUUGUUUCCUCUGUUGUUUCAUCUCUGUAGUGGUUAGCACUUCAGUAGUGUUUCUGAUAUCUCAUCCCUCUUCAGUGGUUCUCAUGUGCUCUGGCAACAUGUGCGCAAGAGGCAGAUGGGGCGUUCUUGUGCUGCCACACUCUCCUGACAACGUUUGUGCCAACUCUUCCCUCUCCCCAGGAUCCACACCUACAGCACAAAUACCUGCCAAAUGGGUUUGUUUCUAAAUAUAUUCCAUGGACAGACUUUCGCUCACCUGCCUGGAUCUGCUGGUCUUUAAGAAAAAGGACCAGGAACAAGCAGCCUAGGGAGUGCAGCUGCAUCUGCACCACCCAUUUAAAGCACAUUGAAAGCGGAGGGCUUCCUCCAGCAACUCCCAGGAGCUGCCAUUUAACCCUCAUUGAGCUAUAAUUCUCAUCAGCACCCAUGGCAAACUACAGCUCCCGGGAUUCUCUGGGGGGAGUCACAUGCCUUAAAUGCACUGCAAAUGUGUGGUGUGUUGAUUAGACAUACACAUUGGCUUUCCACAGAGAACUCGGUUCAGAAACAGUGCAGCGAAUGAGAAAAAUAUAUAGCAGGUGAGAGAGAAAAUAAUGGAAGUGUAAGGCUGUAUUUGCAAUGAGCAUUUUCCAGAAGGCAAUGGCUGGAGCGCAGGGGUUUAUGUGGAAUCACCUUACAAUCCUGCUAGUGUAAUAAAUGGAUUGAUGGGGAUUGUGAGAACAAGAGAAAAAGGCCCAUAUCUGUUCCGGGAGGGGGGGGGGAUAAAGGAUAUCUACACUUUCUGCUCAAUAGGCUGGGGUGGUGAUGGAGGAAAUGGGGCCAUUCUUGACAUCUGCUUCAAUCUGCAAAUUACAAGGGAUGUUGGCUCAUGCAACACGCAGUUGCUGAAGCUGUCAUCAAAAGUGACACAUUCAGAUGAAAACUGCAAAGAGUAGAUUAUCCAGAAUUCAAUCUAAGCAGCUAAGCAGGGAGCAUUUUGAAAAACCCGCACACAUAUUUUGAGUAGAAUUUUAGAAGUUGUGGGAAGGGGGCUUGAAAGUCUUGCUGUCAAAACUGCUACUCAAAGGAGGGAAUCCAGUGGUCCUGCAGCCCUGGAACUGGUUUGUGUUAUUUAUCUUUUUCAUUUCUAUCCCAGCUUUUGCUCCAAUGAGUUCAGGGCAUGCAUGGUUCUAUCCCUCCUCAAUUGAACCUCCACAACAACCCUGUGAAUAGGCUGAGAGGCAGUGAUCGGCCCAAGAUCGGCCCAGUGAGCUUUAUCGCCAAAUGAGAUUUGAACCCUAGUCCCCCAGAUCCUUCCUCUAACCACCAAGGAAGUUCUUUUAGUGAUAAAUCAAAAUCUACCUCUUCUGGCUCCUGUUAGAUCUAGUUUUGCCCUUUGGCAAAGCAGAUGAUCAGCACUGGCCCACCCAUGAGGUGGACUGAAGCAGCUGCCUCAGGCGCCUUAAUCCCAUGGGGCGGUGCCCUCACAGGUGCUCCACGCACCCCUACCACCACCAGGGUUGUGUGGUGAGAUCUUGCCAGAAGUUGCCACCACAGGAGCCAUGUGACCCCAGUAAGUGAGGCUCUGGAAGGGGCAGGGAGGCGGUGUCUUCUCAUUUUGCCUCAGGUGGCGAAACGGGAUGGGCCGCAGUUGCAGAGGACAAGUCUUUGCCCCCCAGAGGCGUUCCCAGCUACUAAAAGGGCUCAGGGCACAGGCCCAUGACACAAAGUCGCAGAAUAUUUGUGUCAGGAGAUGGCAGAAUACAGCACCACUCUCCAUGCUUUGCCUUCAAUGGCCCUACUAGGAAGAAGAAGAAGAAGAAGAAGAAGAAGAAGAAGAAGAAGAAGAGGAGGAGGAGGAGGAGGAGGAGGAGGAGGAGUUUGGAUUUGAUAUCCCGCUUUAUCACCACCCGAAGGAGUCUCAAAGCGGCUAACAUUCUCCUUUCCCUUCCUCCCCCACAACAAACACUCUGUGAGGUGAGUGGGACUGAGAGACUUCAGAAAAGUGUGACUAGCCCAAGAUCACCCAGCAGCUGCAUGUGGAGGAGCGGAGACGCGAACCCGGUUCACCAGAUUACGAGUCUACCGCUCUUAACCACUACACCACACUGGCUCUCCAGGUAAUGAGAUGGAUGGAUCAGAGAGAGACUCUGAGGACCCUGAAGACUUGGGGUGGCAAUGGGGAACUUGUCACAAUUUGGUAACUGCAUCGUAUGGGAAUUUAUAUGCACAGAUGCCUCUGGGAAAUUAGAAAGAAAGGUGGUUGGGGUGUCACCAACACUGCUUUGUAGUGCGCCCACCUCAACUUUUCUAAGUUAAAAAAAGGAGGAAGGGCAGAGAAUCCAGGUUGCUGACGAACCAGGGCUAACCAUGUCCCAUUGCCGCCACCACCCAGCCCCAUCCAUCAGCCAGAGGACAAAGAGCUACUGUGUGGUAUAUUUGGGGUGUUUGUUUCUCAUUGUAUUAUUGCCAUCUGUUUUAAGCCACCUUGCGAAUCUUCAGGUUAAAUAGGUCCAAUCUCUAUUUUAAAAGAAAGAAAGCUGUGUUCUACAUUAUCUGCCAGGAAAAUGGAAAUAAGAACAGGGGUCAUUUAUUACGAUCACCAUUGUUUUCAUAAAACAAAAUAAAAAACCACUCAAAUAGCUACUGUCACUACACUGAAGGUUGUUCAUAGCUUAUAAAGUUCACGUGGAAAAAAAAAUCUUGACAGGAGGGUGGACAUUAAUUAAUCUAAAUUGCAACAGAGAACCUGGUAUUUCAAAUGCUCCAAAACAAAAUGAAUUCUUCCUCAUUAUUAUUGAUAUCAUGAAUGUCAAAGGGAUUAAUAAUUGUUAGCCAGCUGUCACUGGUGUCAAGUGAAAUUUCUUCUAGGACAUUUGAAUUAUUAACUAUUUCUUCAAGCAGAUUGCUUUGGUUUAAGGCAACCCAUGCACCAGGAAUCUUCAAAUAAUCAAGUAAGCAUUCUGGGAGAGAUCGCACAAAGAGGCAAAGGCCCUGAUGUGAAGUCCUUUGGCAGAUCCCCACUAUGGCCCAUUGGCACCCUGAAGUACUCUGAAAAUUUCAAUCAUGGUCAAGAUCUGGAAGCCAAACCACUAAGUAGGCAAAGGUCCAAUAUAUACCAGUACAUGAUUGUUAGACAUGGUUUGGGUGGGAAAUCUGGCUUCCCAAUCCCAUAAUGAGCUAAAACCUUAAGCCAUGGUCAUUCAUGCUUCAGGUACCAUCAAGGAUGGAUGACUUCGUUUCUCUACACAAUAGUGUCUUUGAAAAACAUCUGCAAAUUUAAACAGCAGCAAGAAUACUUAUUGUAAAGUAUUGGAAAACACAAGAUUUACCCACUCUGGAAGAAUGGCAGAUGAAGGUGAUGGACUAUAUGGAACUGGCGGAAAUGACUGGCAGAAUCCGAGACCAGGGAGAAGAGUCGGUGGAAGAAGAUUGGAAGAAAUUUAAAGACUAUUUACAGAAAUACUGCAAAAUUAAUGAAUGUUAGAAUGAUGUUAGAAUGAAGUUAAGUGGUUUUAGCAGCAAUGUUAUAAAGGUGUAUGUAAAAAUGGAUUGUUAACAGGUGAAAAUCCAAAGUUAUAAUAUAUUAAGUUUAAGGAUUAAGACAAAAACAAAGAGGGAAAGGAAUUGCUGAAUUAACUAAUAGAACUGGAAUACAAAAAAGGGAGGUGUGAGGAGGUCAGGGAAGCAAGGAAAUGAAAUGUAAGGCAUGGAAAGAUUGAUGUGUUUUUUAAGUGUUUUUUAUCUUUUUUCUGUAUUUUGCAUUUUUUUCUUUUCUAUUUCUUUUUCCUUUUUUCCUCUUUUUAUUUAUGUAAUCUUUUCUUUGAAACUUUAAUAAAUAUCAUUUAAAAAGAAAAAAGAAAAACAUCUGCAAAUUUAAACCAAUGCACAGUUUUUAGAGCAUAUGAUUCCUUAUCGAUUUCAACAGAUGCUGGUCCACUUCUGAGCUCAAUUCUAUGUUCUGGUUAUUAUUACCUAUAAAACCCUAAACAUCUGGGGACUCCUCCUCUUUGGGACCGCCUCCUCUCACAUGAUCCUGUCUAUCUCCUUAAGUCAGCUGGAGAGGUGGUUUUGCAUGUUCCACCUCCAUCUGAGGUGCAGUUGGUGGAACAUGUGGUGAACUGGCAGAAUCAAUGCAGUACUUCCGCGGGUACAAAUUUUGUACCAUGCCAAACUCAGUGCUAUUUCUUGCGGUGGUUAUUUAAAUUUAUAUACCUUCAUCAAAAAGGCCGCAGGGCCAUUUACAACAUGGUGUAGACCAGGCAUAGGCAAACUCGGCCCUCCAGAUGUUUUGGGACUACAACUCCCAUCAUCCCUCACCAGUGGUCCUGUAAGCUAGGGGUGAUGGGAGUUGUAGUCCCAAAACAUCUGGAGGGCUGAGUUUGCCUAUGCCUGGCAUAGACCUUGGGUUAGAAAAAUUCUAUAAACUGUUCUGCGGCGUCUAUGGAAGAAUGGUCAUAUUUCCAAUAUCAUCCAUACAAAGUAAUCCAAUCAGGCAAAUCAGUUAAGCUUGUGUUCAGAUAGACGGGAGCAAACUUGAGUCAUUGAUGACAGUUCUUUUGAUCAAAUUGCAGCUUAAGAGCUAAUUAAUUGAUUGAGUGGUUGCAAGAAAUUGAGUUUGAUGGCGGUGUUGACAGACUGAGGGAAACAGAUUGAUUUGGCUUUAAAUAAUAUUUAUGAGGAUGACAGCAUGGGUAUAGUAUAGGUUGUCACAGCCUUCAUCAAUUGCCCCGUUCUCUUAUCCACCCUCAUCAUUCUGUCUCUGGUACCUGUCAUGUAUUAGUUUCUAAUAAUAGGUGAUAGGCCAGCUACUUCCAGGUAAAUAUAUACAGUCAUACCUCGGGUUACAGAUGCAUCAGGUUGCAUUUUUUCAGGUUACGGACGCUCCGAAACCCAGAAGUACCGGAACGGGUUACUUCCGGGUUUCGGAGGUCAUGCAUGUGCAGAAGCUCUAAAUCAUGCUUUGCGCAUGCGCAGAAGCACCAAAUUGCAACCUGCGCAUGCACAGACACGCCGCUGUGGGUUGCAAACGUGCAUCCCGCACAGAUCACGUUUGCAACCUGAGCAUCCACUGUAUAUAUAGCAAUCUUAGUCAUACUCAGUGUGGAUCCACUGAAAUCAAUGGACUCUACUCUGCGUAUGACUAACAUUAGUUAUCACCCAAUGAUUCUGUAGUCUUACAUUUAUAUACAUUCUUAUUUCUUUUCUUAAAUCAAGCUGUGUACAAGUCUGUCUUUCAGCUUCUCACCCACACCAGAGGUGUGAGAAAUGAAGAGAUCAGGAUCUUCCAAAACCUGCUUAGGAACUGUCAAGGACUGGGCAGAGGAGGAAUGGUGGAGACCGCCUCCCCAGCUUGACCCUUUCAGGGAGGUGGAGAACGAAGACAGUUUAGAUUUACAACAAGGGUUUGAGGGAGGGAAAGCUGGGAAAUAAUGGGAGAGGAAGAAGAGGAAGAGGAAGCACCAGGGGGGGUGACAGCUGACAGGUACAGUGUCUUUAGAAAGCGUUACACACCCACCCCCAAGAACCAGGCAAGCCUUGAAAGUAGGAGAGCAAAGAGCUCAAAGACAGAGGGAAUAUAGCAGCACCCGUAAAAGAGACCAUGUGAAUGACGAAUGAGGGAGUGGGAGAGAUGGGGAGUGGAGAUUCACUCGGGCAAAGCCAUUAUCCAAGAGGCUGGGUUCUAUAGCCUCUCUCUGUAAAUACUGAGUAAUAAGAGGACGGUAAGAAACUUCUCCAUGUCUAUGUACGUUCCUGGGCAACCAGCCAGGAGUCGCUGGCAGCAGCCUGACAGGAACGAUCGCUCAAAUUCAAAAUGGCUAUUUUUAAACACAGUGGAGAGCUUUGGGCUUUCAAAUUUUAGCAUUGUGGAAUGCUAAAAUUCGGCACCCCCUGCCUCCCACACUCCAUCCGAUAGCGUUGUUGUGGCACCCAGUGCAUCUGAGCUGGUCACACUACCCUAAAGCCACCUCUGCUAAACAUAUUCACAAGUUGAAGUGGAAGGAGGAGCAUGUUGCUUGUGAACAGGGGGACCAUCAUGUAGGCAACUGCAUUCACUUUUUUCAGAUGAUUGGGAUUCCUUAAAGGUCUGCUUCAGGUUCUGCCAAGUGUAAGGAAUCGAUUUUUCGCUGUGGCAACACCUACCUACCCUCUGACUCAGGCAGCACUCAGACAGCACUUCAUUCCAUUUUUCCAAUGUAAAUUUCCAUGGGUUUUUUUUGGGGGGGUGAUCUUUCACAUGACAAAAAAGUCACUUCUGGAAACCUAGAGGAAGUUUGCCACUCAUUUUUGUGUUAAUUUCCUUCAAAGGGGGGAAGAUUACAACCCUGUUAACUCAGAAGAUCAUGGCGGUUUGGGGCUGUUUGACCCACACACACCAGCUCUUUUCACGGAUCACACCACCAUUGUGAUGCAAUCCAUGCAUUUAUUUCUCAACAUUUUCAUGGGAGAACAGAAGGGCACAUGCACAUCAAGGUGUGUGUGUGUGUGUGACAUGUCUGAUGACAUCCACUGUCGUGUCACACUGCAGCCACUGGUAUGAAUGACAUUAAUAAUAAUAAUAAUAAUAAUAAUAAUAACUUAUUCUUUAUACCCCGACCAUCUGGCUGGGUUUCCCCAGCCACUCUGGGCGGCUUCCAACAAAAUAUUAAAAUACUUUGCCUAUUAAACAUUAAAAGCUUCCCUAAACAGGGCUGCUUUCAUAUGUCUUCUAAAAGUCUGGUAGUUGUUUUUCUCUUUGUCAUCUGGUGGGAGGGCGUUCCAUUUAGUGCCAUGUACAGUGGUACCUCGGGUUACAAACACUUCAGGUUACAGACUCCACUAACUUGGAAUCAGUACCUCGGGUUAAGAAAUUUACCUCAGGAUAAGAACAGAAAUCGCGUGCCGGUGGCGUGGCGGCAGCGGGAGGCCCCAUUAGCUAAAGUGGUACCUCGGGUUAAAAACGUUUUCAGGUUAAGAACGGACCUCCAGAACGAAUUAAGUUGAUAACCAGAGGUACCACUGUAGUAGUAUAUUGAUCAAAAUGUCACAGGUCCAUAACACAAAAGGUAACACAGGGUGAAAGGAAUGUUAUAAACCAGGACUAGCAUUAUAACCAGGAAAACUAAUACAAUAAUCCCCACAUCUGAAUGCAACUUCAGGAUUAGGCAGUGUGUGUUUCUUUUUUUUAAAAAAAAAAGAUAUUUAUUGGGGGGGGGAUUUAAAAUUACACACAAAAAAAGAUAAGACAGAAAAAUAAAAAUAAAAAAUAAAACCAUCAUUCUCAAAUUCUCCACUUUCAAUACCUUCUUUCUUUGACCUCCUCCUCCUCCCUUUUCUUGUAUCCUGAUUAAUAAUAAUCGCAGCAAAUCCUUUCCAUAAUUCAUAGUAUUCUGUCAUUACAUUACCUUAAUCUAUUUUCAUCUUAUCUUAUAGAAAACCUUAAAGUUUAAAACUUAAAUCUUAUUUUUACCAACUUCUCCUAGCCAUAACAUUCUUACCAAAUUCUUUAGACAUUUUUACAAGAGCCAAGUAAUUUCAUUUCAACAUUUUUCUAGCAUUCAUCAAUUUUAUAGAACAAUCCUAAUGAUAAAAAAAAGAAAUAAACAAUCCAAUCUUCAUCCAGCGUCCCUUCCUCCUGGUCCCGGGUUUUGUCAGUCCUUUUUAUCUUAUUAAUCUAGCACAUUAACCUGGUAAUCUUAUAUCCGAAGCCCUCAAGUCUCUUCCAUGUCCCUUCCGCAGCUCUUCUUCAUAUUUUCCUUUCAUUCGUGGGAACUCCAGCUUGGUAAUGUUUUUGACCCUUUUCAACAAAUCAGCCCCUUUUCCAUAGUCCAGACUAGACUCCAUGUGGUAUUUAAAAACAUGUUUCAGAUUCCCUCCAAAAUUGAGAGCCCCCACAGCUCCAAACAUCUGACGGCCCAUUGCCAGACUCGAAAAGUCCAAAUCUCCCUGUAUAGGGGGGUCUGUCCAACCCCCCAUUUCCAAACCAAACCAAACUUUAUCUUUCCAAGUCUGGUUUUUCCAAGUUCAUUUAUCAAAUCCAAAAAUUUAUGUUCCUGCUGGGCCGCAGCUCCCUCCGUCUCUGGCGCCCAAGAUUCAGCAGCAUCCUCUUCUCUCAACUGUUCUGUCAUGGCACACUCCUGUUUUAGCUCCUGGGUGGGCUCCAUAUAAUUUCCCACUACCUGUUCAAAGGUUCUGGCCGCAUUAGUCAUCAAAUCCGUCUUCUGGCUUAACUGAUCCAAUAGGGCAUUUAUUUUGCAGAGAGCACCCAACAGUGCUUCUGAAGACAUUGUCCUGCAAGGUCACAAAUCCUUUCCCACGGUUGUAAUCUGUGGCAGCUGCAAGCUCCCAGGAAUUAGUUACAAUUUCACAGUCCCCUCUAGGGGAAAUCUUCUGGUUGUUCUUUCUUUUAAAAACAAUAGCAACAAAGUUUCUUUUUAAGGUAUUUUGUCCAUAUUUGUUCUUUUUAAAAUGCGAAAGGAAACAAUGGAAUCACUAUGUUUCUCUUCUUUUAACUAUCUGUCAAAGACAUUUGUUUCUGGUCAAUGAGCUUCAAACGUCAAUUCUGACACCCCGCUCCAGGAUCAGGACGGUGGAAAAUUACUUUGCUUUAAACUCACUUCUGCAGGUUUAAACAGCCCAAAAAAGAUCCCCUUCUUCUCCUGCUGCCGAAGGGGGGUUCAGCGAUUUUAAAUGAUGAAAGCCAAUCCUUUGAAAGUGAUUUUUAAAGCUCUAGUUUACGUUGUCUUUGCUUUAUUCUGGCUACAAGGAAACGGAAGGCUGACUUCCUGUUUAGACCUUCCCGUUUCAGUACCAAAUUAAGAUAAAUUUUUAAGUCCAAAUUCCUUUCUAUUUCGCCAGUUCUUAUUUAAAGUCCAAAUGUUCAAUGUUCCAGUACUCACGGGUGGUUAUUUUAGAUGCCAAAUUGUCCCAGGAAAAAGGCAGCGCUCUCCGGCAACGGCUAUGCGGCUUCGCUCCGCAGAAAAAGCAAUUGACUCACAGCACCGCGCCACUUCCCCCCCUUCGCUUCGGAGCCCGUUAGUGGGUUCCUUUGCGGGUUGGGGGGGCGCUAAGGGUGCCCGCCGAGUCCCACGGUCACAGGUUUCAUCCGCCUGUGAUUUCCAGAAGGGUCCCCGCUUCGCCGUAGCGGAAAAGACCCGUUUCAUGCGGAGCUGGUCCCUCCAGUUCAGAGGGAGUCCGCCAUUGCCGAUGGCGCCACCCCGGAAGUCCCGGCAGUGUGUGUUUCUAUGUCCACACAUGCAUGUGCAAAAAGAUGUUCAAUUAGACCGCUUGCCACAUAAUUGCCUGAUACCUCCAGUAUUUCUAAAUUCAUCUUACGCUUUUGAUAAUCUACCUUCCUCUUCUGGGAUUGGACCGCUGAUCCUUUUCUACAUUUCUUUCCAUUGUACAUUUAGAACAUUUCAGGCGUUUGUUAGCAACAGACACAGUCCUGGAGUGAACUACACCGUCCUAGCUUUCAUCUGCUGCCAUGUCAAAGAACACCCGUUUGGUUCAUUUGUUAUCUAUUAACACAUGCCAGAAAUGCAGCCUGUGCGCUGGAAGGAGCCAAACCAUCUGGGAAUCUUGUCUUUGAAAAGAAGAAGAAGAAGAAGAAGAAGAAGAAGAAGAAGAAGAAGAUUGUCAAAAGUAAACUGUUAAAUCAUUAUUUAGUCAUCUGUCACUCUGAGUGUGGAAAUAAACAGGCCACUUGAACAGUGAUGGUUAAAUAUUUCAUGUUAUGAUUAUUACCAGCAUUUAUAUCUUCCUCCAGGGAGCUCAGGAUAGUACGCAACAUUCCGUCCCCCCUCCCUUUGGCUCAGCCAAUCACAUGGUGGUUGGCAGCUCAGGAUCAACCAAUGAGAUUCAUAACUGAGUCAGGAUUUGAACCUGAGCCUCCUCAUGCUGAGAACAGCAUGCUAACUGCAAUGGUUCCAAUGCUUAGCUUCAGAUCUAUUGCUUCAAAGUCAGUGAUUCCCAAAGUAUCAAGACCUGAUGCCUGGUUAGCGCCAGCAAGGCUAAUCCAGUUUCCAUACGCGCCAACCUGUUCAGUUUCCAAACCAGGACAUGCAUCUUCCCAUCCAUGCACCUGCAUGAGUCAUGUGACCUGCAUGAGAUCACAGAGCCCCAAAUACACACUUUUUGGGGGGGACGUGCUCUCAUUGGAGGGUGCCAUUUGAGAUCGCAGCCCCCAAAGCGCUUUUUUCAAGGCGCAAUAUUGGGGCAAAAUCGCAUGAAAUUCUGGCAACCAAAAGGGCCGGCGUGCUCUCGUGGGGGAAAACAGGAUGUCUCGUUUUUUCUGGAACAUUUGUGGUGUAUGUAGUUCAGUUCCAUCAUGGACUGAGUCAAGAAACAAGCUGCUCAGCCCCAAUCCCUUGAAUUGGAGGGCCUUGUAUGACACCACAGAAGAACAAGGGCAGGAAAUGCUGCCUGAAUACAUCGGAAGCUGCCUCAUACCACGGCCACAUUCAAACCGUGCACUGAAUGCACUAUGAUACCACCUUAAACAGCCAUGGCUUCCCUCAAAGAAUUCUGGGAGCUAAGAGUUGUUAAGAGACCCCUAUUUGCCUCACAGAGCUGCAGUUUCUGGAGUGGUUUAACAAUCAAUCCCUCUUCUCAGGGAACCCUGGCAUUCUUGUAACCAUUGGUUGGAGAACUGUGUCGUAUUAUUCAGAUAACUGCAUGUUUUGAAGGUUAGCUGGUUUCAGUGUACAUUUGAAAAAAGGGCAAAUUUGAUAGAUUUGCCCUGAAAGAUGAACAGAGUCCAAUAUCUCCCCCAUCCCUAGAUAUAAGUAUUCUAAAUAAAUAUAUAGGGCAUGUUACUGUACUUCAAGGUGUGCUGUGGUGUGCCUUGAAACAGAAAGUCACCAUGUUGGAUAAUAAUAAUAAUUUAUUAUUUGUACCCCGCCCAUCUGGCUGGGUUUCCCCAGCCACUCCACAAAGACCAAAAAUACACUAAGAUGUCACACAUUAAAAACUUCCCUGAACAGGGCUGCCUUAAGAUGUCUUCUGAAUGUCAGGUAGUUGUUUAUCUCUUUGACAUCUGAUGGGAGCGUGUUCCACAGGGUGAGAGCCACUACCAAGAAGGCCCUCUGCCUGGUUCACUGUAGCUUUGCUUCUCGCAAUGAGGGAACCUCCAGAAGGCCCUCGGCGCUGGACCUCAGUGUCCAGGCUAAGCAAUGGGGGUGGAGACGCUCCUUAAGGUAUACUGGGCCGAGGCCGUUUAGGGCUUUAAAGGUCAACACCAACACUUUGAAUUGUGCUCGGAAACGUACUGGGAGCCAAUGUAGGUCUUUCAAGACCGGUGUUAUGAGGUCUCGGCGGCCACUCCCAGUCACCAGUCUAGCUGCCGCAUUGUGGAUUAGUUGUAGUUUCCGGGUCACCUUCAAAAGUAGCCCCACAUAGAGCGCAUUGCAGUAGUCCAAGCGGGAGAUAACUAGAGCACGCACCACUCUGGCGAGACAGUCCGCGGGCAGGUAGGGUCUCAGCCUGUGUACCAGGUGGAGCUGGUAGACAGCUGCCCUGGAUACAGAAUAGAUGGAUCUUUCAGAACGAGAUCAGUGUCUCCAUUUCUCUGUCAGGAUUAGGGCACUGACAUCCCUCUGAGAUGGAGAGAAGGAUGCACUUAGUUGACACAGGAAUAGCCUGUGGCAGCUGAUAGGCAUGAAAGAAUUUCAGAAUUAUUUCCUCAAGGAAGUAGAUAUAACAGCUUCUGUCCGAUAACCACUGAAAGUAUCUUUUGUUGCAUUUUGUGACGCAGUUGUGCGCGGACUCCCACAGAAACCACCCUGCUGUGCCUAACACUGCAAUUUUGUCCCAUAAACAUUUCGGGAUUAUUAUUUUUUAGCAAUGCUAUAUCUUUGGCUCUUCCAGGCAUAGCUUUCUCUGUGCCCGUGCAACUCAGUGGCAAUUGCCAAACCGAAAGAAUGUAAUUCACAUUAAGUAAGUAUGACCUUCUGUUCUACAGAGACGAGAGCAAUCAUAUUCAUCACCGGCCGAAGGAAGUCAAAGCGAACAGCCCUGGGUUGAAUGGAACACUGCCAUCUUCUGUUUUGGCUCAGCAGUUGAUCUAUGGUUCUGCUAGGAUUGAAUUAUGAGUGUAUUACAGGAGGCUGCUGGGUUUCUCCUUUGAAUUGUUGCUGUUUAAAGGCUGGUUUGUUCAUUCAGCAGAAUCAAGUGGCAAAGCUUUUUCUAGAACUGCAAAAUUGGGUCAGGGAGCUCAUUCAGCUCAGUGGGUGUCCAUUUCCAGCUUCUCUCUCACACACAAACUCACCCUACCAUUGCAAGCGCUGCAAGCAAGGAACUCCCAUUAACAUUAUAAUAUAACAAAUAUAAUAUAAUAUAAUGCUUUUGAAGGCAGGCCAAGGGAUAAUGUUGUUGUUGUUUAGUCGUGUCUGACUCUUCGUGACACCAUGGACCAGAGCACACCAGGCACUCCUGUCUUCUACCACCUCCCGCAGUUUGGUCAAACUCAUGCUGCUAGCUUCAAGAACACUGUGCAACCAUCUCGUCCUCUGUCGUCCCCUUCUCCUUGUGCCCUCAAUCUUUCCCAACAUCAGGGUCUUUUCCAGGGAAUCUUCUCUUCUCAUGAGGUGGCCAGAGUAUUGGAGCCUCAGUUUCACGAUCUGUCCUUCCAGUGAGCACUCAGGGCUGAUUUCCUUCAGAAUGGAGAGGUUUGGUCUUCUUGCAGUCCAUGGGACUCUCAAGAGUCUCCUCCAGCACCAUAAUUCUUUGGCGAUCAGCCUUCUUUAUGGUCCAGCUCUCACUUCCAUACAUCACAACUGGGAAAACCAUAGCUUUAACUAUACGGACCUUUGUUGGCAAGAUCACUGCCCCUUCAUGGAUCACUGCCUUGCCGCGGCAAAGGGGCUUGAAUAACUCAGAGAAGCUAUGAGCUAUGCCAUGCAGGGCCACCCAAGAUGGACAGGUCAUAGUGGAGAGUUUUGACCAAACGUGAUCCACCUGGAGCAGGAACCGGCAAGCCACUCCAGUAUCCCUGCCAAGAAAACUCCAUGGACAAAGACAACAGGCAAGGGAUAAUACAAGGCUCAAAAAGGAGAGGAAACAAACUGAAUCAGAAACAUAGAAGCAAGGUGCUGGGGACUGUUUAAUUUUGAAAAUGCUCCAGCAAAACCUUUUUGUGCUAUGUUAAUUGAAGUAUAUGUUAACAUAAACAUUAGCCAUGCUUGGUCACUCCUGGUCUAGGAAUACAAAUCUUGAACCACCCUGAGAUCUAGGGAUGGAGGGCAGUAUACAAAUUUAAAGAAAAAGAAGAGGAGGAGGAGGAAGAGGAGGAGGAAGAGGAAGAAAUGCUUGCCCCAAACACAAAAAGAGGAUUUCAGUCCUGAGAAGCCCUCUCUGUCUUUGUAUUUUUACCAUGUUGGUUUCUGCUCCAAUGUUGGGCAGUGGAACAGAGCAAAAUCAAAGACCAGCUUUACUGGAUACCAUGUUGAGAUUUUUUUAAAAAGUGGAUAUGCACACAAUGGACACCUCUAUCCCCCUGUCAUCUGUACUCUCUCUCUGCUUUGUUGUUUUAGCCUUCUGUUUGAGAAGGUUGGAAAUCACCAGAGGAAAUCCUAGAAGUAAGUGGAAAGAGCGCGACAGAGUUAAGUACCAAGGAUCCUCUGCAAAAUGUUAAUAGUUCUCAGCAUGAUAUUUAGGAGAGAAGGGGAUUUGUUGUGGAAGCUUAAGCCAAUGACAGACAGUAAGAGUGCAUUAAUUAAACAGCGAGAUGUCCUACAGAGACUUGCACAGUAAGCAGAGGUUAUAGCCAAGGUUAUUUUAAUAAAGGACAAAAUAAUGUCGUGGAAAGGGGGUUGCCAAGAAAAGUUCAUUUCUUCUUAGUGAAUAUCCUCCCCCCCCCCCCCCGCCAUAUUUAUUAAUGGAAAAGACAACGUCAAACUCUACGAGGACUUGAACUAUGGGGAAAUGGUAUGAAACCCACAAGCCAAGCCAAGCUGCUCCUAAGUUUAACCUCACCAUAUUCCCCUGGAAUUUCUCUCACGUCGCAACUUAGAAAUGGUGCUUUGCACUCUUAACAAACUGUGUCCUGAAUGCACACAUGUGUCUGCUCAUCCACUGGAUGCAAUCCUGAGCAGAAUAAGGGUUGUACCCAGUGCUCAUCCUACUCAGAGUCGACCCAUUGAAAGUAAUAGACCUAAGUUGGCCACGUACAUUCAUUUCAAUGGGUCAACUCUGAGUACAAGCAAUAUUGGAUUCAGCCCUAAAUCCUCCUCUGCUCCUCUUCCCUGAUUUCCACACAAGAGUAUCAAGCUACGGAAACGGGUGCUUCAGCUCGCCCAUCAAUCAAAGCUCAGCCACUGGUGGCACAGUCCCGAAUGAGAACCAGCUCCUCUCUCCUUUGUUUCCUCUGUUCCGUAGGACAAUCUGCUUCCAUGAAAUAUACACCGAUCCUUCAAAGAGGAUGGACUUGCUCCUUUGAAAGGUCCCACCAAGGGAUUCAAGGUGGGCUUUUGUCAACUCGCUUCCACUUUUCCACCAGCUUUGCAAUGCUCAGUCUGCCUUCCAUGUCGCUGUCACUAAGGAAUGUCUAGGCUGUCCAUCAUAAUGGAGACAUUCAAGUUAUACGUUAUGAUAUUAUUCAUUUGAGCACAUUAAUAUUCCUUCCCUGCUUUUGCCUAAUGAGUUUCUGAUUUGUAAGCUUUCCCUACUCCCAACCUGGCUCUGCCACUGCCCAGGCAGCUAUUGUUUACUUCCUAUAAUCCUUCUCAGGGUGCCUUCCGUUGUCCCUCCUCAUAUCUUCUCAAUGCGCCAUUCAUCCUGGAAAACAUUUAUCGAGGAUUAAUUUGCAAUAAAUUGCUGCCGUACCCUCAUCUUACUGAAGUCUCUGGUAGGAUAUAGAUUGUCCUUCUGUCAAAGAGCUAAGGGUAAAACCAUUAAUCUAACUCUGUCCCACUCCUCUUCUUCCCGCUUCCACAGAGGACGGGAUUUGCAUUCUUUAAAAAUAAAAUAUGGCUCUGAUUAUUCAGCUUUGAGCUUUUUGUUUAGCGUCAGGCUGAAAGCAUUUGCCCCAAUCCAACUGGUGGAAAUGUGCCUGGCAAGGGAUGCUGCCCAUGUAUUUUUCUGGGCUGAACUAUCAAUAUGUCAGGGUUGGGCCACGGUAAUAGUCUGAGAUAGGAGCUGGGGAUAAAUUCAAUUCAGGUUACAUUUAAAGACAAAUCUGUCAAGUUCACACUUUCUGAAACCAUUUGAAGACAGAACCGUGGCCAUCCUUCAAAAUUUGCUUAGAUGAAAAUAUUACAAUACAGUACUCCAAUCAAAUAAUUUUUACCCCCCCCAAAAAAACACAUAUCAGAGGGAAUUGUGCAUAAAAUUCAAUAUAUUCAUGAAAAUGACGUUUGUUGUGUUAUUUUGCUUGCAAAAUUGUCACCUAUUUACGCCUGAGAGACGUUACUGAGGCAAUUUUUCGGUGAGCAUGGCUAACUGUUCUCAUUAUAAAUAACCUAGAAAUGGGACAGCAGUUAUUGGGGGUAUAUUUAUUUAAAUCAGUUAGAGAAACAUCAUUAAAAUUGGGGGGGGGACUGUCAUGUGAGUGCAGCUUAUGUCAGCUGCUGAGCAUCUACCAUUACUUGACUGAAUAAAAUUCUCUCCCAUACUUACCAGUAAGAGUCGCUUUCUGCAUGUGUCGGAGCGCAGUCAAAACCUCAGGCUUUCAUCUCUCUCUUACCCCCAAUGCCUGUGUUGGGAGCCCUGUGCAAAAGUUAGUAACAACUGUGCAUAGCCUGCAUUCAAGGGACACCGUCUGCCAACAACAAGCAUUCAACUUUGUUCGACUGGUCAUGUUGUGCAGAUGCCUGAUGAUCGUCUUCCAAAGCAACUACUCAAUUCUGAACAUAAAAAUGGAAAGUGUAAUGCUGGUGGUCAGCAAAAGAAGUUUAAAACUCUCUCAAGGCAAAUCUAAAAAAUGUAGUAUAAACACCAACAACUGGGAAACACUGGCCUGCGAGAGCUCCAGUUGGAGAACAGCCUUUACCAAUAAUGUCAUGGGCUUUGAAGACACUCGAACUCAGGACGAAAGGGUGAAACGUGCUAAGAGGAAGGCACACUUGGCAAACCCUCACCAUGCUCAACUCCCACCAGAAACCAAUGUCCCCACUGUGGAAGGACGCGUGGAUCCAGAAUUGGCCUCCACAAUUACUUAUGGACUCAGUGUUAAGACCGUGUUCAUGGAAGACAAUCUUACUCGACUACGAGUGAUCGCCAGAAAAGAAGAAGUUUCCUUCCUGGAACCAACAUGACAAGGUUGCUUUCAUUUGUUUGUGAAUUGCCUGGGUCUUUCUUCUUGAAAUGAAAGGCAGCAUGUAAAUUAUUCUAUUAAUAUUAAGUAAAUAAUAAUUGGUAGUAAACUGAUGAUAAAGCACACCCCCAUAUUCAGGCAGAGGACAAGGAUUGCUGGACCCGUCUUGGUCGUUUCUGGCUCAAGAACUUGCAUUGGCACAUGGAUGCAUCUUUCCCCGUUUGAUGAAGUUGAUGAGCUAUAAACAGUCACAGUGACUGGCUUUUGUUUGGCUUCAUCAUGUGCUGUUGUCGUGACCUCUGCAGAACAUGAACAAUGUUUAGUUUCAGGCACAAAGGUUACUGCUUCUUUUAUUUUUAAAAUAAUAUAUCAACUCUGCCAAAUGCAGAGAGAUCCUGUGGAGGUUCUUUGAGCCGAGAUCUCAUUUGCCCUUGCUGCGGGAAGUUUGUCUGCAUGCACGCUCCCCACUGCCACAACUUAAAAAAAUAAAAUAAAAAUGGCCGCACCGUGGUACCUGCAGGCCCAUUCCACCCAGGAAGAGGGAACUGAUCACUCCAGAGCAACCACUUCAUGCAGCAUUUAAGGACAUUAAGGACCCAGUAAAUAUGUUGGUGCAGCUUACGCUUCCAGCAUGCUAAGUAACUGCCUUUGCUGCUCCCCACUGCAUAUCUUAAUGAAAUGCUGACAGUUUGGCACCUCAUUGGAUAACAGCAUUCCGGAGUAUCAGUCACAACUGACAGCUGUUCAGGAAAAAGUGUACAAAAUAAUCUCAGAGACAGGAGCUUCGCCACGGCCGCACGGUGCAUUAUUUAUAUCCUAGUUAUUGGUGGCAAAAGAAAGCCAACAUUUUAGGCACAGAACAUCUUUAGAUCUAGCAGGAAAUGAUGCACCACCAAUUUGUCACUUGGUACACAAGGGUCUGUGCAAGGUUUUAAAAGCAGCAUUUGCAACUGCCCCCGUCUCUGGUGCCGGGCUGGGCGUAAGGGGAAAUGGUGAUUUUUUUACUUGUAAGGAGCAGGCAAAGGGCAUCGUCUCAAAUCUCAGGUCUCUAGUGCUUGGUGCUAAGGCAGGAAAUAAAAGAUCCCUCUGGCUGGCCUUUAGAAAGGAUCUCGAAACUUACAGCCUGGGGAGCCUGCUGAAGCUGUUUGUUGGCUUGUGGGGAAGGCUGUAGCUGGAGGCGAGGGGUGAUCCUUUUGCAAGAUCUCAGCAGGCCCUGCAUCUCAUGCAGCCUGGCAGGAUUGUGGGGCGGCCUUUAAAAGGACCAGUCACAAUCCUGCCUAGGCUUCCUGAUUUGAUUUAUUAUAUUUCUAUUUUGCUUUUCAUUCAAAUCCCAAAGUGACUUACAAACAGUGGAAAACAAUAACAUGGUAGAAUCAUAGAAUGAUGGAACUGUAGAGUUGAAAGAGACCCGGAGGGUCAGCUGGUCUAACCCCUGCAAUGCAGAAAUAUUUUGCCCAACGUGGGACGCAAACCCAUGACGCAGAAACUACAACUAAUCCAGAAUGCGGCAGCUAGACUGGUGGCUGGGAGCGGCCGCCGAGACCACAUAACACCAGCCUUGAAAGCUCUACAUUGGCUCCCAGUAUGUUUCCGAGCACAAUUCAAAGUGUUGGUGCUGACCUUUAAAGCCCUAAACAGCCUUGGUCCAGUAUACCUGAAGGAGUGUCUCCACCCCCAUCGUUCUGCCUGGACACUGAGGUCCAGCACCGAGGGCCUUCUGGUGAUUCCCUCCCUGCGAGAAGUGAGGUUACAGGGAACCAGGCAGAGGGCCUUCUCAGUAGUGGCACCCACCCUGUGGAACGCCCUCCCACCAGAUGUCAAAGAAAAGAACAACUACCAGACUUUUAGAAGACAUCUGAAGGCAGGCCUGUUUAGGGAAGCUUUUAAUGUUUAACAGACAAAGUAUUUUAAUACUUUGUUGGAAGCCACCCAGAGUGGCUGGGAAAACCCAGCCAGAUGGGUGGGGUAUAAAUAAUAAAUUAUUAUUAUUAUUAUUAUUAUUAUUAUUAUUAUUAUUAACUCUGAGAUUAAAAGUCUCAUGCUCUACUGACUGAGCUAGGAAGAGCCAGGUAGAUCUAGCAGCAGCAGCAACAACAACAAUAGAUUUCGGGUGUAGUGAAUUAAUUGUACACUAUCCCUCUGAAAACAACCCAGACUCCGGCUUCUCUCUUUCCUUUUGGUCUAGUAGAAACCCUUCUAUUGGUCUGUACCUUAGAGUCCUGCUGGGGGAUUGCAUAGAACCCUAUUUAAUUUACUUGUUUUAUUAAUGUGUGUGAAGCCAGAAUCAGUAGCUAAGUUUCUUUUUUAAAAAAAUAAUAAUUUUAUUAAAGAUUUAAACAAAACAUAUUAUCCAAAAACAUGUCAUCCUUAAUUUUCCCCCAUUUUCCUCCCUCCUCCCUCCCCCCACCCUCCCACACAAAACCCACCCAUCCCCACCCCCGACUUCCCUCAGUUCCAGUCUUUGGUUUCUUUGUAAAUGCUGUUCUCUGAAUGUUACAAAGUUUAUGCAAAACCUGCCAAGGAGUACAGUUCACUUUGUUGCAUCUUCAAUUACUUUGUAAAGGGUUCCCAUUCAUCUUUAAAGUCACAGUUAUCCUUGUCCUGUAGCUUGUGUGUCAGUUUUGCCAGCUCUGCAUAGUCCAUCAAUUUUUCUUGCCAUGAUUCUUUAGUUGGAAUUUCUUCAGUCUUCCAUCCUUGUGCUAUUAGGACUCUCACAGCCGUUGUCGCAUACAUGAAGAUGUUUUUCAAUUUUUUUGGCGGGUCUUUCCCUACAAUCCCUAACAAAAAUGCUUCAGGUUUUGAAACAAAUGUUAAAUGGAACAUUUUCUUCAAUUCAUUGUAUAUCAUUUCCCCAAAAUUUUUAAUUACAUUACAGUCCCACCACAUAUGAUAAAAUGUCCCCUCCUUUUCCUUACACUUCCACCAUAUAUUUCAACUAGUUUUGUACAUUUUCCCUAACUGCACUGGUGUCAUAUACCAUCUGUACAUCAUCUUCAUAUAAUUCUCCUUCAACAGGGAACAGAAUCAGUAGCUAAGUUUCAACAGCCAAUGUUUGGUGCUAGAGCUUUCAUGGCCACCUCGUCCCGCUGGAAACAGACCACAGACCAUCGGAAAGCAUCCUCAAAAAUCAUCUCACUUCAGCGCCACCAAGACCUCAAUGUAUGAUUCCAAAGCUCUGCAGAGUCAAACACAAAUCUGGAAAGAAGAACAAAAAGACUGCAGUCCCCCAUCUCACAGUCUUGCACAAUUUGCUAAAGAGAAACAUUUGGGCCCGGUGACCAAGAACCACUGAAAGGUUGUACCUCCUGCCUAAUGCCAGUGGGUACUCAGUUCCAUAAGGCAGGUCCUGCUGCGCUAAAGGCAGAACAUCACAGCAAGGGAAAGACUCCCCUGACCCCAUCUACUGGCCUGAGAAGGAAUAGCUGCCAGGAAUGGGAAGCUCCCAUCCUUGCCAAAGGCCAGCUUAUUCUUGGUCUGUAAUACAUGUUCUGUUUCCAUCCAUCAUUCAGAGGGCUAAAAUGUAUAUUGUGCUUGUUAUUAUUCGUAUGAGCUUCUUGUAAGCUGCCUUCAGAAUCAUUUCACUGAAAGGCAAGGUAUAAAAUCUUCAAAAUAAGAUGGGAUAGCUCAGUCAGUACAACAUGAGGCUGAUGAUCUCAGGGUUGUGGGUUCAAGCCCCAGGUUGCACAAACGAUUCCUGCACUGCAGGGGGUUGGACUAGAUGACCCUCGUGGACCCUUUCAACUCUUUCAUUCUAUGUUUUUAGGAAAUAAGUAGAUUGGCUGUCAACGGGGCAGCCAAGAGGCAGGUCCAGAGGGUACUAGUGUACCAGGCCUAAGGACACCUGUGAACCUGAGACACGAAGCUUUCAUUCUGAAAAAGAAUAAGUCUCUUGCCCUCCUAGAAAGAAAAAUAUGAAGCAAAAUGUGCAGGUAACUUUCUGUGAAAUGUGCCAGUCUUGCUGCUUCUACUUUUCAGUGUUUUCAGCCAAUAAGUGAAGUCAUUGUUGUGAUUGACAAGUGAGAUGUUUGGACACCAGGUGAUAAGAAUCACCAAGGUCCUAAAGCACAGAUUCAGAUUUAGAUUUAUUACGGCCAUUGGCCCAUAUCAAAAACAAUACAUCAGAAUUUAUCCAUAAACAAUACAAUUUAAACAGUUCCAAGUUAAAACACCCUUAUAAAACCAAUUUUACUUUAGUUAAGUAAACACUAUACACAAUAAGCUCCCUCUAUGUAAACCACAAUUCCGAUCCAUCAGAUUUUGGGGGGUAUACGUCUUAGUUCUGGCACUUAUUGAUGGUUCUUAAGUUUGGCUAAGCUGUCAGAAACAUACAGUGAUCCAUUUCUCCUCUUUUGAAAUAAAACAUUAAUCAGGUAUCUAGCGAUUGCAAGGGAUCUACUUGUAUCUUCGUCGUUUAAUAAGUAUAUUAUUUGGGCUUCCUGAGGACUGUCAGCAAUUCUCGAUAAAUAUGGGGCCAGAAACUUGGACCGUGAAGCCGAAUGUAAUGGACAACAGAAGAUUAUAUGAUAUAACGAUUCUAUAGAUCCGCUUUUACAGUCACAGAGGAGUGAGAUCUGUCCGUUGUCCUAAAGCACACCUUCCAAGUGUCUCUAUUUUCCAGGGACUUUGCUGAUUUAGGGAAGCCGUUCCAGUUUCUGAUUUGAUCCCAGAAUGUCCCACUUUUCCUUAGGAUGUCCCUAUUUUCAUUGGAGAAAUGCUGGAGAGUAUGGAGUUAUCUGACCCUCGAGCUGUCUGAAGGCAAUCUUGUAUAGGGAAGGGUGUCUUUUUUAAUGUUUAAUGUUUUAUUACGUUUUUAUAUAUGUUGGAAGCUGCCCAGAGUGGCUGGGACAACCCAGUAAGAUGUGUGGGGUAUAAAUAGUAAAAUUUUCAUUAUGGGAUCAUUAUUUUCACUGGAGAAAUGUUGGAGGGUAUGAAAGAGCUGCUGUUUUCCCCUCCCCAUUGCAUUUUCACUGCUUCUGUCUCAUAUUCCACUCCUUGAAAGCUGGAAGUACAAGUGUACAUGGUCCCAUGACUCUUCCUCAUCUCCACCAGUCCGUCAAUGGAAAUGGCAAAGACAAAGGCAGAGAGUGCUGUUGAAUUGAGCUUUCCUGCCCAAAAAACCACCACAAGGACAGAAUGGCCUGCGCAAAAACAGCAGGUUCCUAAAUCAAUCAACAAUCUUGAGCAGGUGAUAAACACAGAGUGUUGCCCAUGAUCAACACUCUAGUAAUAAAGUUUCCAGUUGCUUAGGAAUUCUAAGAAACCAAAAGAUUUCAGUGCGGCUUUUAAAUCAGUGGUUAAAAUCAGAGCAGUUUUGAUAGGUUCAAUCUGCCAUCUUGAAUCAAAAUGGCAUCCAAAUAUAUUCAGACAUAGACGAAAACCUCCUCCUUGAUCUUAGGAAGAGUGGCUGGGGAAACCCAGCCAGAUGGGCGGGAUAUAAAUUUGUUGUUGUUGUUGUUGUUAACCAUCAUGCAAAACGUAAUUGUAGCCUAAGAUUUACAAUGCAUAACGAACACACAACUUUCCUAAAUAUAAGUAGUUCAUAAUUUAGGAUCAUUUUGGUGUGCUCAUCCUCCGUUCUACCCCAUAAAUAUCUUUCCUAAAUACUUGACAAAGAAAACCAAGGCUCAACCCUAUAUUUAAAUGAUUCCUAUUCCUAAAUUUUGUCUGUGAGCCUCCCAGCCAUUGGACAGGAUUGUUCCUUGUUGUUGUUUGGUUCUUGCCAUCCCACAAAAAGGUCAUGCCUUUCUUUUCUCAUACCCAAGUAGGCCAUUUGGGCCUUAUUUUUAGAAAGGAUUUAUUCAGGUAGUAGCAGGUAACCUUUCUUACACACUGUAUUGAUUGCACUGCAACGUCUCAGGCUGACAAGGUGAAAAUGGCUACAGUAUUUUACAGUUUACAGUGCUUGUUUAUUUACCUGCUUAUGUAAUACAUUCGUGCACUGCCUGGGCUUGACUGAUUUAUUGCUUGCGGCCUGGCUAGGGGAAUUUCUUCAGCUGCUUGCUUAUAUGCGGCGCUCUCUGUGAAUUAACAAAUUACGGAUAAGGAAUUCACCCAAGAGCAUUGUGUCUGCGCUUUGUAUACGAACAGCAGGUGUGGGUGUGAAAACUGUUCCUAGAAUCAUAAUGCUGGACUGGGUGAUCCUUUAGUUUGAUCUAGUUCUUACUGCGGAAGACUGCAGCUAUUUAUUAUCUAUUUCAUAAAAGUAUUUAUUUGCCACCCUCUCGUAAAAUAUUAGAGAGGUGUAUAGCACAAAAAAACACAAAACGCUGUUAAAAAACAGUGCAAAAGAAUCAUUAAUGUGGUUGGCUAAUCAAAUAAUGUUUUUGUUAUGUACUGAAGUUCUCACCCUGGGCCAGCAGGGGGAUACUGUAGAUAGUUUUCACUCAGGUCCACAUAUGCAAAUAAGGGAUUGAAAGUGAUGUUCAGUGAUUGGAUACUUACAGAAAGUGGUUACUGCUGCGUUGUACUGGAGCUCUAUAUAAGCAGGCUGGCUGAACCCUUCAGUUCAGUUCUGUUCUGGCCUGUGAAUAAACAAGAGCUGUUUGAAGAAUCGCUGUGUCAUCUGAUAUGUUCACCCACAACUUAACAGUUUUAACAGCAGCAAAGGCCUGUUGUACUUGUAGUUUCCAAGUCGCCUUCAAAGGUAGCCCCACACAGAGCACAUUGCAAUAGUCCAAGUGGGAGAUAACUAGAGCAUGUACCCCUCUGUCGAGACAGUGCACGGGCAGUUAGGGUCUCACAUACCCUCCAACAUUUCUCUGAUGAAAAUAGGGAUGUCCUAUUCCAUCGUCAUCAUUGUUGUCAUCAUUUUAUUAUUUAUACUCCACCCAUCUGGCUGGGUUACCCCAGCUACUCUAGGCAGCUUCCAACAUACAGUGGUAGGUCGGGUUACAUAUGCUUCAGGUUACAUACGCUUCAGGUUACAGACUCCGCUAACCCAGAAAUAGUACCUUGGGUUAAGAACUUUGCUUCAGGUUGAGAACAGAAAUCGUGCUCCGGCAGUGCAGCAGGCCCCAUUAGCUAAAGUGGUGCUUCAGGUUAAGAACAGUUUCAGGUUGAGAACAGACCUCCGGAAUGAAUUAAGUACUUAACCUGAGGUACCGCUGUAUAUAAAAACAUAAUAAAACAUUAAACAUAAAAAACUUCCCUAUAGGGGGCUGCCUUCAAAUGUCUUCUAAAGGUUGUAUAGUUACUUAUCUCCUUUGCUUCCGGGCUGCAUAACUCUAUACCCCCCAAAAUUUAUCCAAUGAAAAUAGGGACGUCCUAAGGGAAAGUGUGACCAAAUUCCGGAAUCAAAUCAGAAACCAGGGCGGCUUCUGGAAAACAGGAACAUUUGGAGGGUCUCAGCUGACGUAGCAGAUGGAGCUGGUAGACAACUGCCCUGGACACAGAAUUAUCUGUGCUUCCAUGGACAGCUGUGAGUCCAAAAUGACUCCCAGGCUGCACACCUGGUCCUUUAGAGGCACAGUUGCCCUAUUCAGGACCAGGGAGUACCCCACACCUGCCCACACCCUGUCCCCCAGAAACAGUACAACAGAUUCACCUCAAUCCAUUGACCACCAUCCAACCUCCAACCACCUCCAGAUACCUACACAGGAAAGAGUUAUCGCCCUUAUGUCCUGCUUAUGGGCUUCCCCAGAGACAUCUCAUUGGCCACUAAAGGGAAAAGGAUGCUGGACUAGACAGGUCUUUGGUCUGAUGCAGCAAUGUUCUUUCGAUAUUCCUAUGCACAGUGCAGCUCUCAGGUAUGUGCCCAGCCACAGUCCCACUGAUAUUUUUUUUAGAAUGUGCUCCAAGCUAAUACUUUAUUAAUGCAUCCUAUUUGCCCUCAAAUGUGAGUGGCUGCUGCUGUAUGAGAAGCUAUCGAUUAUUAUUUUGGCCUGCAAAACAACAAUUUUGAAUCUAAUCACUCAGAAGCUUUGGAGAAAAGUAACACGAGUAAAAGGGAAAGCAUAUUGCUGAAUAAUAAAUGAAACAUAACCAUUGAGAUUAUGGUAGCGAGUCAAAGAAAGGUGACUCAUAUUUCUCCUUAGUUUUUAGCAGAAGGUUUAGACUUCAGCUGGGCAGAAGUAGGACCUAUGCCUCCACUCAGCGAUCUGACUUCUUCCACAAAAUAUUACUAUCAUUGAAGAGGGACGCAGGUGGCGCUGUGGUCUAAACCACUGAGCCUCUUGCGCUUACCAAUCAGAAGGUCAGCGGUUCGAAUCCCCUUGACAGAGUGAGCUCCCGUUGCUCGGUUCCAGCUCCUGCCAACCUAACAGUCUGAAAGCAUGCCAGUGCAAGUAGAUAAAUAGGUGCUGCUGUAGCGGGAAGGUAAGCGGCAUUUCUGUGUGCUCUGGUUUCCGUCACAGUGUCCCGUUGUGCCAGAAGUGGUUUAGUCAUGCUUGCCACAUGACCCAGAAAGUUAUCUGUGGACAAACGCCGGCUCCCUCGGCCUGAAAGCGAGAUGGGCGCCACAACCCCACAGUCGUCUUUGGCUGGACUUAACCAUCCAGGGGUCCUUUACCUUUUUUUACCUUUACAAUUAUCAAGGAGACGUGACUUUGAAACUGCAGUGACAUCUCAGAAUAAAACUACAUGCUUAUGCGGCAAAGAGGUAUAAUUCCAAAGCCCACAAUUAAUCAAUGGAAUGGAAUGUUUAUAUUUACAGCAACAAACUAAUAAUAAUAAUAAUAAUAAUAAUAAUAAUAAUAUACUUUUAAAAACCUCGGUAUGUCUAAAGCCACUAAAUUUAAUCCUGGUUGCUGUCAGCGCCUCAUCCCUGCUGUCCAUACGGCUGCAAAGGAAUGAAGCAGGGGCAGUUAGAAAAUGAAACCAACAUUAGGCAAAACAAGCUAUGAUUACUUUGUCUGCAAGCCUAAUCCUGGUUUAUGCAACAAACCAUAGUUAAAGCAAACCACAGGUCAGCAUUACAUGCAAAUGCAGCCAGCAGUCUAGAUUUUAAACAAAACUUAUAAAAGUAUUUUUGUGUGAUGUUUUAGCAGAUUCAGUACAUUUGAAUCUAUUAAUCUCUGACCAAUUGUUCAAUUAAGUGUUGCUUCUCUAGUAAAGAUUUUUCAAAUAACCUUAGAAGAGGACAGGUGCCUUUCCCAAGUCAUAUCAACUUGCUCUGAACAGGAUUAGAUGACGCAGUUAGCUAGAGUAGAUGGCUAAAGCAUUAAAUUGCAAGGUUUAAAAGAUCUACUCCUUGCUUUAAUAUCACAGCUUCUGUUUCUUCUGUGAAGCAGCACCACGGAACAAUGUACCAAAGUAAUUUUUUUUUUCUGCCAUAGGUGAAAUCCUGGUGGUGAUUUAUGAUCCAAGCUUUAACAGUGACUUGGCAACGCUCGUGGAAGCCGAAAUCCAGAGCACAUCUUUCCUUUUGUGCUCUGUGAUGUGAGUGUAGUGCACAGUAAAGGCAGGCAUAAAUUGUAAUUUGUCCAAUAUAACUAAGGAUAAUCUCCAGAAAAGAAUUAAUAAGUUUGUGCUGAAUCAAGAGGCACUACAGCGAUGGCAAGGUUGAUUGAAACUCCACACCGCAUUUUAAUCACAGUAAUGCAAUUACAAGCUUUUUUUCCCUUUUAUUGAAAACAAAUGCUGUCCUUUGAAAAGAAGAAAAAGCCAAAGAAUGCCAUUAAUUAUUGGUAAUGAUUUUUUAUCUCUCUUCUAAUGGUCGAGCAAAAUGAAUGUGAAACGCAGGCCCGUAAUUAAAAGAGGCUCCCAAGUGAAAGCAUUGCACAUCUCCAAUGCAAAUUCUUCCGUUCCCAAAUCAUCGUUACCGAAAAUGAUGCAGCACUUCCCAUUCAGGAAAUUCUACAAGAUUAAGGCCUGUGGCAGAGAUAAAAACAAGAAAAAGGAGUCAUGUAGGCAGUAGUGAUGAGUGCCUGCAGUCUCUUUGUGGUAUACAGUAUUAACAAGCGUGGGUUUUCAAACCAUGACACUUUGACAUCAGGUGUCCAUUUCUCCUAAGCAGUGGUGAGGUGCCAACUGUUCAGUAAGUACAGUAGAGUCAAAUUAUUUGUGUGUGUGGCUUUUUUAAUGCAUUGUAGUUUAUUAAAUGUACAGUGGUACCUCGGGUUAAGUAUUUAAUUCAUUCCGGAGGUCUGUUCUUAACCGGAAACUGUUCUUAACUUGAAGCACCACUUUAGCUAAUGGGGCCUCCCGCUGCUGCUGCGCCUCUGGAACACGAUUUCUGUUCUCAUCCUGAAGCAAAGUUCUUAACCUAAAGCACUAUUUUUGGGUUAGCGGACUCUGUAACCUGAAGCGUAUGUAACCUGAAGCGUAUGUAACCCGAGGUACCACUGUAAAUGUAAAAAUCAGCUUAUUGUCCUGGACUGGUUGGCCUCAGAGAAAUGGUGCAAAGAACCAGCUGGGAAACCCCCAAGACUGUGGAUUGGUGGUUGGACGUUGAUGAGUAGUCAGAGGGAGAAGACGGAAAAGGAAGCUGGAGAGGUAACAGGGCUUAGUGAGCAGGGGGAGUCUGUGGCAGAGAGCAGUCCAGAAUCAGAGGCAGAAGCAGAGGCUGGAGAGGAGGGAGGCCAAGAGGCAGAGAUGAGUCCAGCUGGUGAAGAGUCACAGGUGUCUCCCCUUCCUGCUGUGACAAGCUCCCCUCCCCCUGGUCUCCCAGAACCAGGAGAGGUGUGAAGAGGGUGGAGAAGUUAGCUUCAUGCAGACACAGUUUCCAACUGCUUGGGGAAAACCCUGGAGAGGAGACUAGGCAGCUGUGGGGAGGUGAGGACAUUCAGUCUCAGCAGCUGCUUCAUGAAGGCAAGACCUACUGGAGAGAAGUUGCUAUGCUCAUUAGGCCUGAUACUCUUGUGCAGAUCCUGUUUUUGCUAAUAAAGCAUUAACUCCGAUUUACUUGGUAUGUUUUACUGCCAGCUCACUCCCAUCACUCAUUCUGCAUUACUCUAGUAACCCAUUCUUUGUAACUUUGGGUUGGGCUGUAGCUCCGUGAGACAGCUUCUCCAGACACGACUGAGAGAGACUCCUGCCUGAAUCGAUGGAGAGCUUCUGACAGUCAGUGUAGAAAGCACUGACCUAGAUGGACAAGGGGCUGGAAUCAGUAUAAGGCAGCUUCUUACAUUUCUAAUCCUAAAAUAUCAUUCGACAGUAAAGCACGCACAAAAGGUGCAGAGGAAGAAUGACCACCUGGCAGGCGUGCCAACUUUAUGAGGCUGGGGUGCCUUGGGCCCUGGCAAUAAUUUUCCUCUGGAGGCCCAGUCCCCUCAGGGGGCCACCCCCCCCAAAAAAAAGAUCAUGGUUGCAACCAGAGCACCGGCAAGCACGACUGGUCAGCGGCAACAAGCAAAGAAGAGUCGGGUGCCUGGCUGGCACCUAAGGUAAGGAGGGAGGGAGGCUGGCAGAGCAAGCACCCCGUAGAGAGAAGGAACACCGUGGUGCAGCGGCAGCAGCGCAACCGGACGCCUUCAUCUGCGCCAGCUGCAAAGCUCAUUUCCAUCUGGCCUAGGGGGCGGGGCCCACACUCACCUUGAACAGCCCUGAGAGGGCAAUGGGACAUUGCUGGAACAACUCGUGGUUGGGGCAACUGGUUGAAAUGUUUUGAAAUGUUUUAAACGGUUCUAAUUUUGCUUUCUCUGUUUCGUUUUUGUUGGGUUAGUGUUGGUUAAAUGUUUAGUUGGGGUUGGCGGUUACUUUAAUUUGGGUAUAACUGUAAACUGUGUAGUAAUAUUAUUGUUAUUGUUGUUAUUACUGUUAUUGUUGUUGUUGGUUUCUAUUGGUUUCUUGGUUUGUUGCUUGUAUAGGAUAUUUUGUUUUUAAUGUUUGAUGUUUAUACACACACACACACACACAUAUAUAUAUAUAUACAUAUAUAUAUAUAUAUGUUGUAAGCCAACCAAUCAAAGUGGCUGGGUAAACCCCGCCAGAUAGGCGGGAUAUAAAUUAAAAAUUAUUAUUAUUAUUAUUAUUAUUAUUAUUAUUAUUAUUAAAACAUGUCUCUCCUACAUUGGCCUCUACAGCCACAGCAGGUGCCAAGAGUUUGACUUCACCUCCAAAGGCGCACUCCUCUGUUGUCUCCUGAGACCAGGGGUGCCAACAAAUAAAAUACGGGGGUGGGAAGGUAAGCCUCGCUCCACAUAAUCAAUCACAUGACACGGUCACGCACACCAUUUUAAUGCCAAUGCCCAUUAACUGGGGGGGGAGCCCCCUCAAAUAUUUUAUUGUGGGGGCUGAAACCCCCUUAGCCCCAGGAGCUGGUGCCUAUGCCCGACACAGAUGGACGUCAACAACUUGUACAGCCAUUAGGGUUGGAAGGAAAUAUCCUGGCAGAGUUUUGCAUAUUAGAAUCAUAGAUUUGUAGAAUUGCAAAGUUGGAAGGGAGCCAUGGGGUCAUCAAGUCUAACCCCCUGCAAUGCUUGGAAUCUCAACUAAAGCACCCUAUUGCUAAACUAUUAAUUUUUAUCCUUUUCUGAUACCGGCUGUGUUUGCCACUGCAAAAAUAACCAUUGCUCCACAGACUUGCACCAUACUACAAAUCAUGCGGCUGGCACAUGAGAAGGGCAAUGGAGCAUUGCCGUACCGUUGUCUGCGCCGUUGAUGCAGCGCAUCCCGCCAGCCGAGAAGGCAGUUGGAAAAGCUGCGUCAUAAUAAUGCAGAUAUCAAUGGAAUCCUGCAGGGUUUCAGGCUCGGUGCACCUCCAAGGCCCUGUAGAGAUCUUUAUAGUUCACGUUUUCUGCUCCUGUUGCUUUCAUUAUCAUUUCUUUUCUCCUUGUCGGAAAUAAGAUAUUUGGAACGCGGGGUCUUAAGUGACGGUCCCAGAGCGGGUGCCAUACAAAAGCAACAGAGAUAUUUCAUGUAGAACAAAAUACCGCAAGGUGUGUCGAGUACCAAAAAAUAAAAUACAAAAAAAUGCCUGAAAAAUGCAUCAGUCUGAAACCAAUGAAAUCAAAUUCUACAAAGCAAUACAUAUUGUUUACAAAAUAUAAAAGAGCAGAAGCUAAGGAGGAGAGAGAGAAAUACUGUGGUGCCUCGCAAGACGAAAUUAAUCCGUUCUGCGAGUCUCUUCGUCUUGCGGUUUUUUCGUCUUGCGAAGCACGGCUAUUAGCGGCUUAGCGGCUAUUAACGGCUUAGCGGCUUAGCGGCUAUUAACGGCUUAGCGGCUUUAAGAAAAGGAAACAAACUCGCAAGAACUCGCAAGAUGUUUCGUCUUGCGAAGCAAGCCCAUAGGGAAAUUCGUCUUGCGGAACGACUCAAAAAACGGAAAACUCUUUCGUCUUGCACGUUUUUCGUCUUGCGAGGCAUUCGUCUUGCGAGGCACCACUGUAGGUAUGGCAGUGGUACAGAAUUUGGUGGCUUUGGGGGCCUCAUUAGGCGCGGCAGGGGUCCUAAUUUGGCUCAUGAGGCCAUUUCCCCCACGUCACACCCACACACUGAACAUCUAACAUCAUAUAUACCGUGGUACCUUGGGUUUCAUACUCUUCAGGUUACAGACUCCAGUAACCCAGAAAUAGUACCUCAGGUUAAGAACUUUGCUUCAGUAUGAGAACAGAAAUCGUGCGGUGGUGGCGUGGCAGCAACAGGAGGCCCCAUUAGCUAAAGCAGUACUUCAGGUUAAGAACAGUUUCAGGUUAAGAGCGGACCUCCAGAACGAAUUAAGUUCUUAACCUGAGGUACCACUGUACAUUGAAAUAAAAAGAAUAAAAAAAGAAAUUUGUCCAGUAGCACCUUAUAGACCAACAAAGUUUGUUCUGGUAUAAGUUUUGAAGAAGUGUGCAUGCAGACGAAAGCUUAUACCAGAACAAACUUAGUUGGUCUAUAUAAGGUGCUACUGGACAAUUUUUAUUAUUUUUAUUUUUAUUUUGACUACGUCAGACCAAUAUGGCUACCCACCUGAAUCUAGAAUGAUGUCAGAUUCAGGGCAGGUAAAGACACAGCUGCAUAGGAACCGUCCGGAGCCUUAGAAAGAGCUCCGGCUUGCUCCUAGCAAGUGGCACUUGUGUUCAGCAUCUGUUGAAUUUGGCAACCAAUGCCAGUGCUCCUGGGACCGGUUUCACGUGGGAGCUCCCAAUCAGAGCUCCUGAGUGGCUCCAAUCUCUGAUGAACAGCAGGGUGCAAAGUCAGCGCUAAUCAGCCAAUUAGCUCUUCUUUAAGCCUCAUUGGGCCCGGCUCCACUCCAAAGGUUCUCUAAUCAAGAACUCAAGAGCGCAGCUGAUGUAUGUGUGGGGUUUUGUGUCAGUGUCGCUUGUGCGUCGAACUCCGGAUCCGUUCCGGAGGCCCGUUCAAAACAUGAAAGGAACGCAACCCACAGCGGCGAGUCUGCACACGUGCGGGUUGCGAUUUGCCGCUUCUGUGCAUGUGUGUGACGUCAUUUUGCAUGUGUGCACAUGCACGAGCGGCGAAACCCGGAAGUAACCCUUUCCAGUACUUCCGGGUCGCCGCAGGACACAACCUGAAAAAAUGUAACAUGAAGCAAACCUAACAUGAUUCAUAUGCUGUUGGUGGGUUCUUGUCGUCUUGUUGGGCUGUGUAUGUGAUAAAGGGGAGUCAUGGCAAGGUGAAGGCGCCUUCUUCUAUUUGUCCCCCUGUCAGUUUCAGCUUAUUGGUUAGUUUUUUUAAUAAGGCUGUUUCCCACACUAUUUGGUACCAUUGCUUACUCCUGACAUAUCUCUCCAGUGUCUGGCUAUGAUGUUUCUGUCUGCUGAGCAUAGGUGGGUUAUGAGCUCUUUAUGACGAGAGUGGGCAUUAUUAUCUUGGAAGAUGUUGUGAUACAGGUAUGUAGAAAAUGUAACUUGAAAAAAGAGACAUUGCACAUACUUUUGUAAACCAAUAAAUCUUUAAUAAAAAAUAUGUUGUUGUUUUUAAAAAAGAGCGCAGCUGAUCCAAACCAUGAUUUCAAGCCCUGGUUUCAUUAGCUGAGGUCUUCCUUUGCAGCAUGACUCGAACUCAAGCCAUGCUGCAAAUUGGGUGGCAGGGGUGGGAAGGGUCACCUAGCAUCACAGUCGGAGGCUCAGCCCACCUCUCAAAGUGGCUCCCCAAGGGUGAGAGGGAGUUAAGAAUCCAACCCACUGGGCUGAAAAGGAUCCUGAUGUACAGAGAGAGGUGUAACCCUGAGGUCCUCUCUUUCCAGAUACAUUUCUCCAUCAUCUGCACCUUUUCUCUUUUUGAAACAUUUCCAGCAAAAUGUUAAUAGGAGGAGGACUGGCCUAGCUGGGUCUAGUGGGGAUGGGUGAGGGGGGGAGCGUAACUCACAUCAGAGUUUGGUUUGAUUCCACUUGCUUGCUCCUGUACAGAAGUUAACAGUUCUCUCUGCCAUGGCUCAACCUUGAUAUUUAUAAUGUCCCUGUGAACCUACCAUAUGGCUAUAAUGAUGAAAUAGUCUUCAUACAUUGCUGAAAUGAAGCCUAGGUACGUAUAACUGCAUCUAUGAAACGUUUAAUCCCUAUGGCUUCUUCAUUCCUCCUCUGCAUCGGCCCCACAGUCAGUGUCUAGAUUGUAGGGUUAGAAGAGACCCCAAUACAGGAAUCCCGGCUAAAGCAUCCAUGGCCAUCCAGCUUAUGCUUAUGUGCUAAUAUGCCUCUUCUUUACUUUCCAAUUUCCUUCCCCACCCCACUCCCCCGUUCCAAAUUUUGACAAUCACCAAGGUUGGUGCAAUCUACGUGUGUGUGUUAGUGAUUAAUACCAAACUCCCGUGCUAAAUGGAAUUAAAGUUAGAAGACUCGCUGAAGGUUCCGAAUAGUUCAAACUCAUGGCUUUGUCUCCUGUCUUCAGUGGAGAGUGUGAACAUUUGUUCCCUCACUUCUUUCCAACAUCCUUGUAAAUAUUUUAGAACUGUCAACAUAUUUCCCCUACGCUCAUCUGUUCUCUAGACUAAACAGACCAAGGAGUGAUUUGUCUUCUAACCCUUUCAGAAUCCUCAAAGUUCUCCCCUUGUAACUUAUCAACAUCCUUCUUAAAAUGGUGUUGUCCCCCCCAAUAAAACAGACAAGGCUCGGAACAAAUGAAUGUUGUUUUUCUUUAAAGAUCCGGAUCUGAAAUAGAUAUGCUUGCAAGGAUGCAGUGUCUCGCAGCAGGCAUGUAGCAGCAGGGAGAAAAAAAAUCAUGGAUAUCUGAAUCACUGAUAUCCUGGUCAAAGAGACACUUUGUCCUAGAGUUUGGCAGGUAAACAUAUAGACUGCAGUGAAGCUGAUGGGAAACUCACCAAUGGGGAUGUGAAUUGCAAAGAUAAUUUACAGGUUUUGUUGCAGCAAAGACUUAGGUAGUAUCAACGAUGUUUUCCUGCUUUUUGUAAACAGGUGUGUUUAUUCUGGUCCGAAUAAGAGUUUCCUCUUCUCUUUCUCUCUUUUUAAUUGGCACCAAGGUUUGUAAUGCAGAGAACCAAAUCAAUUUGCAAAUCGAAAUGCAGCCACCCUCUGAAAUUCACACGUCUCCUAAUUUUGCAACGUGAACAGCAAUAUUAUUUUGGGAACACGUGUGCCAAAAAACAUUAUGCUGGGGAAAACUGCUUUGCAAAAUUAUGUAUGUUCACAAACGGAUGCUGAAAUGUGGAGAAGUGAAGGGUGGGGAAAUGAGAAACCAAAACUGACAUAUUUGCUCAGCUUUAGUCAUCGGUGCAUCUGUCUGUUGUGCAAACUGUGACUGCUGUUCUGCUGCAUCUGUCUCUACCCUUACUCCUUUGCGGAACUCACAGCAAUCUAUGUGUGGCAGAAAAUACAAUCCCCUCUCAUGCCUUCUAAUUUCAUUCUAAUGGCCUGAGGGGAGAGAAACGCCUGAGUGAUCGUUUAAUUGUUUCUCGCAGAGCAGCAGGCAGAGCAAAAGUAUAAAUAUGCAAAGGCCACUUCAUUUCAGAGGAGUGUGGAUAACUAGCAGAUGGGCAGCUGGACGUGAAGUUCUUUCUUAUCAAGAGAAACUGCCCUCCCCAGUACAAAUGGCACCCAUCUGGCUGGAUACCACAGCCCGCUUGGGGAGAAGGGGGCCAAAGGAUUGUGGGAGAUCCUAACUUCAUUUGCAUGUGGCAGCAAUCACUAUCACCGUGUGCAACUUUUUUAUUUCUUCACUAGCACACAACAAUGCACGCUUUAGUAUUCUGGAGAAGCAUUCUGCACUCCUUUGCAAGUGCUGCCUUCAUACACCUUCAAGAAUAAAAAGCAUGUAGCAUUAUGCUUUUUAUUUAACCAAAGUUAUAAACCAGUUAAUGAGACGGCUGUGUGUGCUUAACAUAAAAUAAUACAAAACAUUCAAAAGAAAAUGCAGAUAAAAUCAACAGACUUUCUUUUAAAGGGGAGGGAGGCAUAAUGGUUUGUAUUCAAAGUAGCACUAAAGAGAAUAUUCCAGCAGUGCAAGGAUUUUCCUAGAACUUUCUCCCAUCUCUCCCCUUGCCUCUUGCCCCCUAAAUUUGUUCUGGGGGCUCCCCUCCAACCUUCCAGAGCUUUCCAGCCCAGUCACCUGAAAGGCCUUCAGCUUUUUCCACCCCAGCUGGUCAGUAGAUGAAUGUGUAACUAACAACUACCUGACUUUGCUUAUUUCCUCCUCCCUCCUGAUCCAUUUUCCUUUGGUGUCAUGUCUUUUUAGAUUGUAAAAAGAGCUCUUUUUGCCUGAAGAGUGUGAUAGAAAUCCAACAGCAACAACAAUAGGAUUCUCUUCCUCUUUAAUCCAAGAGCACGCAGUUCUGGCCUGCAGCUUAUCCUGCAGACCAGGCCCUCUAAACUGGUAUUAAACAAACUUCCUAUUUCCCUACCAAGUCACUGGAAAAUGAAGAAACUUGACUGGUUAUUUUUUGUAUUCUCAUUGGCCCUCGUCCAAACAUUCUUAUGUGUGGCAGUGAGCUUUGUGGUUGCUUCAGAGGGCAAAGAGCUUCCAGCUUAGCAGAUGCACUAUUCUAUCAGCUUUGACAGGACUGAUCUCCUAUUUGCCAGGAGAGAGAGAAAGAGAGUGCUUUGAAUUAGUCCCACCUCUAGUUGUCUCUGCCUCCGGCAGCAGUUAAUGUCUGAGCCAUUUUUGUGCCCACAGAUCACCAUUUACUGGGACAGUGGGGAAAACAUAGCUGCAUAUCCUCCAACAUUUCUCCGAUGAAAAUAGGGACGUCCCACACUUCCAUAAUGAUAAUUUUACUAUUUAUGCCCCACACAACUUACUGGGUUGUCCCAGCCACUCUGGGCAGCUUCCAACAUAUAUAAAAACAUAAUAAAAUCUUAAACAGCCGUGUCAUGCUUAUGAUAAUAUUUUAUUCUCUUGUCCUUUGUAAUGUUUUAUUUUGAAAUCUUUAAGAUAAUAUUUUAGUUUCCUGUUAAUUAUGUUGAUUUGACUGUAUACUUUAUAUUUGACUUUCUUCAGAAAUGUUUGAUUCUGGAUUGUUUUAUUGAUGUUUAAUAUGCUGUAAACCACUUUGAGAUUUUUCUUCAAAAUAUAAAGUGGUCUAGAAAUGAAAAUAAUAAAUAAAUAAAUAAAAUAAACAUUUUAAAAAACUUCCCUAUGCAGGAUUGCCUUCAGACUACUUGGGGGUGGGGUCGGAUAACUCCAUACCCUCCAACAUUUCUCCAAUGAAAAUUUGUUGCUUAGCAUUUAGUCGUGUCCGGCUCUUCGUGAUCCCAUGGACCAGAGCAUGCCAGGCACUCCUGUCUUCCACUGCCUCCUGCAGUUUGGUCAAACUCAUGCAGGUAGCUUCGAGAACAUUAUCCAACCAUCUCAUCCUCUGUCAUCCCCUUCUCCUUGUGCCCUCCAUCUUUCCCAACAUCAGGGUCUUUUCCAGGGAGUCUCCUCUUCUCAUGAGGUGGCCAAAGUAUUGGACUCUCAGCUUCACGAUCUGUCCUUCCAGUGAGCACUCAGGGCUGAUUUCCUUCAAAAUGGAUAGGUUUGAUCUUCUUGUAGUCCAUGGGACUCUCAAGAGUCUCCUCCAGCACCAUAAUUCAAAAGCAUCAAUUCUUCAGCAAUCAGCCUUCUUUAUGGUCCAGCUCUCACUUCCAUACAUCACUACUGGGAAAACCAUAGCUUUAAUUAUACGGACCUUUGUUGGCAAGGUGAUGUCUCUGCUUUUUAAGAUGCUGUCUAGGUUUGUCAUUGCUUUUCUCCCAAGAAGCAGGCGUCUUUUAUUUUCAUGGCUGCUGUCACCAUCUGCAGUGAUCAUGGAGCCCUAUAAAGUAAAAUCUCUCACUGCCUCCAUUUCUUCCCCUUCUAUUUGCCAGGAGGUGAUGGGACCAGUGGCCAUG